UUACAGAUAAAUUACGUUACAUCUCAUUAGAAAGUGAGAUAAAGAGAUAUCCUAUUUAUUUUCAUAUAUAAUAUUAUAUGUUAAUGUUAAUAUGUUAUAUUGAGCAUGUUAAAAUGAGUCAGUUAAAAUGUAUAUUAAGUGACAAACCGUCCCUAGAGCGUGGUAAAGGACUUGGUGGUUGUUACUGGAGAUCCAAGUUCGAAUCCUAGUUGAUUCACAUUUCCAGCUAAGUUUAUUUUUAAAUGAAAUAAACGAAACGGGUAGCGUACUAUAUAUCUAUCUCUCAAAACAUACAUAUAUGUUAAAUGGUGUCACGGGCAAACAAAAGCUUGCUUCAAAAAAUUUUAUAUGUUUUUUUUUUGAGAAAAAGGUAGCACGCUACCCGCUUCAUUCAAUUAGACGAUAAACUAAGCUACAUGAGUGAGACAGCAGGGCCUCGAGAAGGGUGAAUAAGCGAAAAGCGAAAAAAAAAAAACCUAUAUAUAUAUAUAUAUAUAUAUAUAUAUAUAUAUAUAUAUAUAUAUAUAUNUUAAAUAAAUAAAUAAAUUAAUUAAAAUUUAUUACAAUGGUUUUUAAAGUUGUAGAAAAAUCUUUUUUCCUUCUCUCUCAUAUUCAAUCUCUCUCUCUCGUAUUAAUUUUUUUAUCUUUCUUUUUAUAUCAGCUUUAAUCUCCCUCACUCUCUCAACUUUAAAUCUUUCUCUCUCUCUCUCUUUCGAAUCAAAUCUCUCUCUCUUUUUUUUCAACUUAAAAUCUCUCUUUUUAUUCAAAUCUCUCUCUAUAUUCCAAUCUCAUAUUUCUUUUUAUUAUAGUUAAUCGGCCGCCCAUCCUUCUUUCUUUCUCUAAUUUGUAUAAUACUAAUGGAGUUAGGUAAUUAUACUCCUAUGGGUGGGAGGGAGUUCCCUUACUCUAAUCAUGAAACUCCACUUAGAAUAAGGGUUCACUUAGGUUAUAAUGGUUGAUCUAAUGAAUCACGCAAAUCGGUUUGUGGCAGUAUAAAAAAAUAAGGAUAACCUAAUCAUCCUUAGAAAUUUUCUAUCGCGCUUGGUUUGCGUGGGUAUCUCAUUACGAUUGUUUUGUUUUAUUUUUUGCUCCAGGUUUACAGCCGUAGUGUUGGCACAACCGCACGUUCUAGGUAAUGAGGCACGAAACGUGAUUAAGCAUGCUGGAUUAGGUCAUUUACCCGGAUUAAUAUCUGCGCCUAAUUUAACAUCCGGAUUUAGGACCGGACAGGAGCGAAGAGUACGUUUCUUUCUAUUGUAUAUUUAAAAAAAAUCCAACACCUUCUUAGAGGAAGGCCAUCUAUCUAUAUUACUUUGAUAUAUUACUUUGACCUAUUGAGAAGUUUUCUCAAUAUAUAUAUAUAUAUCAACUCGAUCUUAUGAGAGCUAUCAUUUGCUCGGCAAAAUGAUAGCUCAACAAAAGCUACUGUCUCGAAGGUUUAAUUGCUAGCCGAGGCAAUUUAUACUAGAUUUGGUAAAUUUGAUGGAUCUUUAGUUUAAAGUGCGUGAAAGCUAUAAUAAAAAAUAGGUAGAUCAUUUGUUUUUUUACUUACCGACUUUUACUUAUAAGAAAUUUUUUACUACUAUCCUCAGAACAUUAGUUCUAGUUCUCAUAUUUAGAACAAAAUUUAUCAAAUUUCUUAAAAGAUUAUUUUUAAGUUAACUAAACCUAUAAAAAUGUGGCAAUUUGCUCUUUUACAGGGAAUAGGUGGUAAUUUUAAUGUUUAAAACUUUGGGAAACUAAUAAUCCGUUUACUACAGCUUUUCUAAACUUUAAACUAAAGAUUUGUGAAGUUCACCAUAUCUAGUACAAGUUGCCUCGGCUAGCAGUUAAACCUUCGAGAUAGUAGCUUUUGUUGAGCUAUCAUUUUGCGGGGCAAACGAUAGCUCUCAUAAGAUCGAGUUGAGAGAGAGAGAGAUAUAUAUAUAUAUAUAUAUAUAUAUAUAUAUACUUUUUUAUAUUUUUUAUAUAUAUAUAACUUUUUCAGUAGAUUAUAAAAAAAUUUUUUUUAUGUCAGGUUUAAUAUAGAUGCACGGUAACCGUCAUGAUUAAUUCUUCUCUGUUGCGGUCGAGUAGGGUAAAGCCUCGGUGGUCGUACUUCCUAAUCUUAUAAUACGUUUUAUAUACUUCUCUUAGGAGUAAAACAAACCAACCAGUUGCGUGUCAAUACGUAUGUAUGUAGACAUAUACAUCUAGAUGCAGGCAUCAUUAAACUCUAGGCGAGUUUUAAUUACCGCGUUUGAAGCUUGCUAGUUCUUGAACGACUCACGCCGCCGCUGCGACAUCGUCUUAAUCGACGGGGGCUGCUGAAACACCUUCAGCAGAAUCUACAGUUCCUCCUGCCUCAUCUGCAGUGACUCCACGUCGCCGGACAACGCUCUUGAACCCCUCUAGUUAUGGCUGAUCCCGCGCAUUGUCUCCUUAACGCCGCCAACUCCAGACGUCCAGACCGACGAGCUGCAGACCUGUCUCGGCCUUCGUAAGAGCUGCAGUAGCUCGUGGGCUUGCUGACCCCGCGGUGGAUGAGGCUGGCCCUCAGCCUGGCGUUGCCCGCGUCUUCCUUCUUCUUCUCCUCGCCGUCGCCGCCGAUGCUGCUGUCGCUGCUGCUACUACGCCGACGUAGUCUCCGCCGCGGCCUCUCCGUCGACUGCGCGAAGCGGGAGGCGUAGCGGUAGGACCUCUUCCGGCGGUCGCCGCAGCCGUGCGACCGCAAGCAGACCCGGUGGCAGCACGACGAGCCGCCGAAACGCCAUGACGACGUCGGGUUCCUGAAGAUGAAGCACUGGUGGUAGCACGAGUAGCUCCCGUGGGCGCACAAGUGGGCGUUGGUGCUCGAGCUGAGGCCCAAGAAGAAGGCCCGGUGGUUCCGGCUCGGGACGAGACAGAGGCCCUUACAGCCCACCUAGGAGUGCAGCGACGUCGAGAACAGUCGGUGGCGCACGCGGCGCGAGAGGCGCUACGCGGAGCACCUCGUCGUGAUGCCGCUGCACCUAGUUCUGCGGUGGUUUUCCUUGGCCCGUGGCCGCGAGCUGUAGAAGAUACCCGACCGCGACCGCGUCCGAGACGACAAGGAGUAUCUCUUCCGGAUGACCGUAACCUUUUAAAGUAUGCCGGUCGACGAGCUCGUCUGAGCGGCGCGGACGCCGAAGCCACGGAGCCCCUAGUAGAGGGAGGCGGCGAAGAAGGUGUUGCGGAUAACCUUUACGUAAAGACCCUCGCACAAGCUGCGGGAGCUGUACCUGGACUGGAGGAAGCGCGACCGCGAGCAGUUAAGCCUCAGGGCGCCACUCGCCGAGUAGCCGCGGUAAUUGUAUAUUUUUUGUAAUAUUAAAUAACAUGGCUAAUUAAUAUUACCGUGCGAACCAAACACAGAAAUUUCACAUUCUUAGUAAUAGGAUGAAUAGAAAUAAGAUUCUCGGAUAUCUUUUUUUCCUAGUAAUCUUUCACAAUGCGAACCAAACGCACCCUAUAGUUUAUCCUUUAUUAAUAAUAUCUUCUGAUUCAUAACCAGAGGUCUCACUACAACCACCAAUAUUGGUAAUCGCCAACAUAUCGUGCUACUCAAAAACCUGCUCCCUUAGUAUAGUUCAAUUGACGCACCGGACAUACUAAAGUGGCGGUGGACCGCCAACCAAAUCUUUACCGUUAAAUCACUUUAUGAAUUCAUCACCGAUACAGGCCAGAUAGACACUAUGUACGAGCACCUUUGGAGGUUAAAAAUCUCGCUCAAGCACAAAAUCUGCACUUGGAUUCUACUUCGCAAGAGAUUACAUACAGCGGAUAGAUUGAUUCGCCGAGGGUGCUCAGUGAACCAGUAUUGCAUUUUUUGUGUACUAGUACUUGAAACCUGCGAUCAUCUAUUCCGAGACUGUGUCUUCGUCAGAUACCUUCGAAUUGUUGCGGGAGGACCAGAUACAACCGACUCGGACUUAGGGGAUGUUCGGCGGAUAUGGACAGAGACCUCUAGCAACCCCAACGCUGUGACGAGAUCGAAAAGUCUAACUCUUUUGGUGGCAAUCUGGUGGGUCGUAUGGACGGAGCGAAACAACACUAUUUUCCCCGAAGUGCUUCCCGAUGCCUCCCGGGCUCACGAACGUGUCGGUCUCUGAUCAAAGCCUGGACCGAAGUUCUGUGAACCUAGACUGUUACUUUCAUUCAUUCACCUCCGUUUUUCCCUUGUUAACUUUUGUCUUAUCGAUAGGCACUGUAUUUUUUUUUGGAUUUAUUUGGAUUUUCCUCUUUUUGCUGGCUUGUUUGGAGGUCCUAGCUGCUUCCACCAUGUACGUUUAGUUCAUUUUGCUUAAUGAAUGAAGCAGAUAGCUUGUUACCUAUUUCUCAAAAAAAUAGUAUCUUCUGAUUAAUUGAGAAAGUUAUUUUACAUAAAACAUAAAAAUAAUAUUUUGAGAAAGCUAUAUUUUACAUGAACUGUAAACAAUAAAAUUUUUUUCUUUUGGAAAAUGCCGUGCUAUUUAGGGAAGUGGUUUUAAUAUUCAUAUACAAAUUCAUGUCAAAAAAUUAUUCACAUACAAAUUAAUUAAAUUUUGUCAUUAUUUACUGAUUUUGAUUUGGACUUAGAUUCAACAAAUGAAAUUUGUUCUAUCAAAAUUGGAUUUUUGAAUGCUACCUAUCUUUUAGUUAACAUCAUAUAUUUUAGGGAAAACUUCAAAAAACCCCCCUAUGGUUUCAUAGUUUCUCACUUUGCCUCCCAGUGGUUUAAAAUGUAUCAAAUUGCCUCCAUGUGGUUCGUUUUUAUUUUUUCGGCAGCUUUUUGGUUAAUAUUUUAUUAAAUUAUAUAUAAAAAACUUCAGAUACUCAUCUAGAUUUAUCAAAUAUUCACUUUAGUACCCUUUAAUUUUAAUUUUAUCACUGAUUUUAAAAAAAAAUAAUGAAAUUGAUAAGAAAAAGAGAAAAAAGAAACCACGUGGGGCAAAUUGAUACAUUUUAAACCACAGGGGGCAAAGUGAGAAAUUACGAAACCACAGGGGGUUUUUUGAAGUUUUUCCUAUAUUUUAAACUGAAAUUGCAAUUACUAUUCCUUAAUUUUUAUUAAAAUUAUCUGAUGCAGAUCUUGCUAAAAAUUUUGUUACUGACUUUCUCCUAGCUAUGUUAAAAAUCUAUAAAAUUUGGUCUCUAAGAAAUUUAAUGAUAUUAAUCAUAAACUCGGAGACACUAAAUAUCGAAAAACGACAUGAGAGAAUUAAAAGGUUGAUUCUUCUAAAUUUAUUCUAGCUCGAUUCUCUCUUUAUAUAACAUCGGAUCAAAAUGUAAUCCAUUAAUUACAAUCUACACCAUUUAAAUGAUUUAAACAUACAAAAGUAAAAAAAUUUUAAAAAAUAUUACUAAUUUAUAUAAAAUGUUAUUUAUAUAUUCCCCGCAGAUAAUAAUUUCUCGAUUGUACAAAGCGUGUGCAGCAGUAGCAACUUCGAAGCCUCCAAAAGCCGCAUUUAAAACAGUUUUUGGAUUAUCGACUGUUCCUAGUGCAAGUGGCAAAGGACUUGAUUGUUGGUAUUCGAGAUCCCAAAUUUACAUUUCCAGCUAAGUUUAUUUCUAAAAAAUUAAACGAAGCGGAGAGUACACUACCUUUCUCUAAAAAAAAAAAAAAGCAGUUUUUAUGCACGCUACCUUUCUCUAAUUUAGUUUUUACGCACUUUCUAAACUUAGAAUUUGUAUUGCAUUGAGUUAAAUAAAUAGAGUUAGAGUUAAAUAAAUAGAGAAAUAUCACAAAUUGUGUAUACUUUAAGUAAUUUGAUAUUCGAAAUCUUUUUGCAAUCUGAAGGGGCCUGGGUAGUGGCCCAGUAAAAGUAAUAUGAGCCUAAGCCCAGUAAGAAGGGGCCUAGGUAGUGGCCCAGUAAGAUUUACAAUAUGAGCCUAAGCCCAGUAAGAAGGGGCCUGGGUAGUGGCCCAGUAAAAAAAAUCUUGUCGUUAGGCCAUCAAGAGGCCCAAGAUGUGUAGGCCGUUCAUCAAGCUAGGCCCAUAAUGGGGAAAGACCAUCUCAACCGUCAAAAGUCCUAUAUAAGAAUCCCAAAACCCGCACUUUCUACGCACUAAAACCCCAACCCUAAUUUCGCCGAACUUUGCCUCCUCUAUUUUAUCUCCUCUCCUAGCCUCCUAGGGUUCUCCAAUCGCCGGUUCGUCUCGCUUUUUUCUCUUCUUUUUUUUUUUUUUUUUUUUUUUUUUUUUUUUUUUUUUUUUUCCCCUUUCUCUUCUCCUUUUUUGCUGUGUUUGCAUCGCGGAUGGUAUUAUUCGUAGUAUUACCUGAAACUUGAUCGCGGUGAAAAGAGCUGUAUAAGGCGAUUAUUCGCUUUUUAAUCGCUUUGAAUUAUUUGUAUAUACCAAUAGCCUUGUUGAUUUAUCAUUAGAAAAGAUUCGAUUUUGUGUAGUAAUUUGCAACUGAAGCGAAAAAAGCCCCCUUUUUUAGCUUUUUUAUAGAAGCAGAAGCAGAUGACGAGAAGCAAGACAGGGACAUCAGCAUUCCUCUCAUUUGGAGGAUGAUGACUAAGUCUACAUGGGAAUCUCUCUGAUGCUCAUCUCUUUUUUUUUGUUUGAUCAUUUAUUUUUGUUUUCUAAACUUUUAAUUUGUUCGAGCAUUGCUUGUUUUCUCUUUAUGUUGGUAUCACCUUGCCAAUGAUGCAUAAUAUGCACGUAUUAUCGGAUUUAUAAUGACGAUUUCGUAUGUUGUCACUACCACUGAGGCAAAUCAUUUAAUCAUCUGUUCUUAGUAGUUGAUCAUUUAUGCUUCUUAUAAAAAGAAAUUUUGAGUAAGUAGACAUUUGUUAUUUCAAUCUUUUUUGGGGUUCAGUUCUAAUUUUGAUUGAUCAUGUUUGGUUAUAAUAAUAAUAAUAAUAAUAAAGUUGCGUUUGGUUGUUGUUGAUCCAAUAAGUGCGACUGCCGAGGAUGGUGUUAAAUAUACUUUGAGUAUUCACUAUGAAAAGUAACAAAAUCUGAGGCAUUUGCUAAGUUCUUGUAAUUUUUUUGUAUUUUCUUUUUUAUUGACUUGCUUAAUAUUUAAUUGGUUAUAUUAUUGCUUUAUUACAUACAAUUUACCACCAGUUUUCCAAAUUAAUUAAGAACUAAUCUGCCGAUGAUGCAUAAUAUGCACGUAUUAUCUGAUCUAGCUGAUGAUACAAAAUUAUUAUGAUCACUGAGGCAUAAUAUACCAAAGAACAUGUUAAUGAUUUGUUCACUUAUUGCUCUUACUUGCUCAUCCUUCUACUUUUCUUUUUAAUUCUAGUGCUAUGGAUGCCAAAACAUGUAAUUUUCUACUGCAGAUGUGUCAGCAUGUUAUGAACUGUAUAUUUGUGCUCUGCAUCAUUUUGUUUAUUAUCAAAAAUGGACUCAAUUGUGCUGGCCUAAUGAUUUAUUUUGUAUAAGAACGGAGAUCUGAAAACUUUGUUGAAGCCUAACAAGUUUGGGCUCCAAAGAAAACUAUGUAGAUACUCAACAAAAUGAAGGCUGGCACAUUAAUAUCUAACAUUGUUAUAUAUUUGCUUAUUAGUUACUUGUGAGUUAGACUUUUCUAGUGGCUUUACGUAAUAAUUUGUACAUCUUUUGUGGUUGUGUAAGUUGUUUUGCUGUUCAGACAUCCUGGAAUUUGCUAAGAUACCAAUGGAUCUGGAUUGAUGGAACUCCCACCCUAAUCAGCCCAAAAGCAGGGGUGAAAAAAAAAAAGAAAAAAUAUAACUUGCUUCAAAUCUGCCUUGAUCUGCUCAUUCUAAUGGAGUCCGGAGGUGGGAGACCCCUUCCUCCUUCGAGCUUCUCCAACCCGUUAAAAAUUCGUCAAAAAUCUACUUUUGCUCACCUGCCUCGAAUGGAGCAGAUAAUGGGCUGGAAAAUAGGAUAAAAAUCAGUUUGCUUUGAAUCCGCCCCGAUAUCCCAAGGAAACGGGGCGGAAGGUAGGGGACCCUUCAUGUCACCGGAUCUGCUCCCUUUGCGUUUCUAUAAUUCUCUGCAGAAUUUUUAAGUUUUGUCACAUUACAAGCUCCGUGCUUGGGUCUUAAGUCUGAUUGAUACAAUUUAUCGCAAAAUGUUCUUAUCUGCAGUGGGCACUCUUGAGUAAUUUGAUAUUCAGCUUUGUGUCGACACUUAGCCUUUUUUAGAGUUGUAUAUGAGCCAGAUUGAUGUUGUUCUUCAUAUGACAGCAAUUGCGAUUCUGCCUUUCUUUCCUGUGGCUGGGGGAAGUUACAAUCUAGUGGGUUAGAAUUUUAUUACUGUAUCUGCUGGUUAUAAUCAACUGGGUUAGAAUUUUAUUACUGUAUCAGCUGACGUUUACUAUCCACCUUCAUUCUGAUUAUUAAAUUCUCUGAUAUUUGUAAAUUGCCGGUUGACACUUGUUGUUACCUAUUAUUGUGUUUAUCCAGCAAAUUGUUUGUUUAGGCCGUCGAAAAUAUGUCCGGAUGUGCUGUUAAUGUUACUCUAUCUGAAGAAUGCGAAAAAGAUGUGCUGUUAAUGUUACUCAAUCUGAAGAAAGCGAGCAAAUAAUAGGCAUGUUUCCUUCGACAUACAUUGAUGCGAUCUCUCUCCACCUGCGAGUUCACCUACUCUUGAAUGUUAUAUGAAUAACAUAUAUUGAUAACUUUUUACCUGUUUAAUCUAUAGCAGUAUAUGUCACUAAAUAACAAACUAUACGGCUAAUUAAUAUGAUGUUCAUUGCAUAUAAUGGAGUGUUGAUUAGGCUUAUGAUGUUCAUUGCAUAUAAUGGAGUGUUGAUAGUAAUACCGUGAAAGGUUAUUUGAUAGUUGAAAUAUACAGUGAUGGUGGCGAUAAUAGGAUCUAAACAUAACAAGAGAAACCGAUGAUGGUGGUGACUGCAAAAACGUGCUUUAGAAACAUAAAUUGACUGAGAUUUUUGCCCAGAGACUUGGGAUGCCAUAGGUGUAAACGAACCUUUUUUUUCUUUAUGUUCUCUUCUCAACCAAGAAUGAUUAGAGUGGAUUCAUAGUGCAUUACUACUCUAAACCAAACAACUCUUAGGCUUAGGCUUCAUUUGGUUCGGAGUUAAGUAAGAACUAGUUAUACCAAGAAUGGGGUUAAGUUCAGGGUUAAAGUGGGGUUAGAGUAAUUUUGUAUUUGGUUGAGAAUUGAGUUUAGUCUAAGUAUAAAUAAAAUAGUGUUUGGUUGGAGUGGAUAGGAUAAGAAGGAUAAUAGAUUAUUAUAAAUAAAAAAUAAUGAUUUUGCCAUAAUUUUUAUAUUUAAAUUUAAAUUUAAAAUUUAAAUAAUUAAAAUUAAUAAUUUUAAAAUAAUUUUUAUAUUUAAAUUUAAAUUUAAAAUUUAAAUAAUUAAAAUUAAUAAUUUUAAAUUUUAAAUUUUAAAUUUUAAAUUAAAAUCUAUAUUNUAUAUAUAUUUAAAAUUUUAAAAUUUAAAAUUUAAAUUUAAAUUUAUAUUAAAAAAAUUAAAUAGAAGUGGAAUUAACUUAAUCCUAUCCAAAUGAGCUAGGAUGAAAUUAGCUAAUUCCAUCCCAUAAAUUUUUUUUUUGUUUCGGGUUAAAGGACGGGGGAUAAUCUCCUUAUCCCCUUAAACCCCCCCAACCAAACGGGGCUUAAAGCUCCCAGCCAAUCCUGGACAAGCCAGAUGUAGUUUAACACAAUCGUGCUGGUUACCCUGUUCAGUCAAUAACUAGUACGGUACUUGUUCAAAAAGCUGCAGAGCAAACACUGAACACUGCACUCACUAAGUCCAAAAAUUCGAAAGAAAAAGAACUUUUCAGUUACCUUGUUAGUACAAGGACAACGCAAGGGUCAUAAGGCACCUCCCUUAAAGAACCCUAGAACCUAGACCAUGCAAACUUGUCCUUAAAGCCUAUUUCGUAGGUUUCUGCAACCAUGCAAUGUCAAAUCCAUCUUAAAAGCCUUUAUCUCAAGAAAAAGGCAAAGCAACUUUCUAUAUAACCACUUCCUACCUUGUAACCAAGCUCAUCCUAUUGGUCACUCUUUUGUGAAAGUUCUCACAACCCCAGUUAGGAUCUUCUCCUCAUGCACCCAAUAGUUUUGCUCCUCCCUUUGCUCUAAAGAGCAAUUGUGCCUUGUGUUGGAGUAAAAGGAGGGUAGAUACCUUUCUUCCUAUUGCAUCCAGUGAAAACAGUUGUUUCCUUUCUUAAUUUUAGGGAGAAUGUAGUGCUUGUAGGAAAGUGUGGAUGCAGGUGAUUGGUUAAGAUGAAUCAUUGAGGAAAGGGGUUUGAUGUGAUAGUCAUCUGUGAUCUUGCAUGUGGGAAUGAGGUUAGUAUAGCGCGUAGCCAAGGAUGACUUGCCGAUACUUAUUAGUAGCUCGAUAAGACUAUGAUCUUAGUCCAUCGACUAAUGGUGUUUUUUUGUAACUGCUUUUAUCCUUAAGAGAAAAUCGGCAAGUUGCAUUUGGCUACGCACCUGCCUCCUUUUCUCAUGCUAGAGCAAAGAUGAUAACUUCUAAGUCAUACACGCGCGUCCAAUGGCUAUUUUUGAAAUGCAACUACCAUCAGAAGGGCAAUAUAAAGAAAGGUAUCUUACUUCUCUAAAGAUCAUCAUCUUGUUUCAUCACAUUAAUUACAAAGGGAUUAAUUUCACCAAGCAAUGACUAAUACACAUUCUUUUCUUUUCGUAAACUCAAUUCGCUAAUGAAGAUUUGCUAAGGUUUUCUUAUUGUAUAAUUUGCCGCCCCUUAUUCUCGUUUUGUAAUGUAUAAUAUUGUUUGUUUUUUUUUUUUCUUCUGCACAGCAUCAAGAGUUGUCAUUUACAAACAUCAGCUACAACUAACAACUAACAAGCAGGAUUAACUAGUGUGUUCUAAUUAAACAGAGAACAAAAAGUUGGUUAUUAAGUUAAAAACUUCAAGAGACUGCGAUCGACGACUUGGCCCAUUAGGGAUGAUUAAUUUGCUUCUGCACUGAUGCAAUUACCGUAUAAUCUAUGCUCUGAUUUGCCAUCAAGCAUUGAAAGAGCGGGUUAGCAAUUUAGCAUUGUAUGGUGUUUUAGCAAUGAGCGCAUUAUUAUAUAUAUAGGGCUUUAUUAUAUCUUUUUCGAGAAUAGGGAUAGGAAUAGACCCUUAUCCCCCACUUUAUACCCAAACGCUAAUUUUUUACCCGAUAAUAGUAGUUCUCGGUUAUCCCUACCAACACCUCCAUUUUCUAUAUAAAACUACUUAAAAUUGUUCUUAUCCUCGGGAACAACCCAAUUUUUAUCCAAACACUAUUUUUCUUAUCCCCAUACUUGUACUUAUCCCUGUAAUAACUAGUUCUUGCUUAUACCCGAACCAAACAGUACCUUAAUGUUUGUAAAGAGUUUCUCUGUUCUAUGUCAUUGUAAUCAGUGGGAGAUUUUUUUUUUUUUCCCUUUACCAUCACAUCUUUUAAAUUUAACUUUAUAAGUGGUAAAGAAUUUGUUGAUUGAUAUUCGAGGUCUCAAAUUCGAAUACUAAUUGAUUUAUAUUUCUAGCUAAAUUUAUUUUCUAAAUGAAAUAAACGAAACGGAAUAGAGCAUGCUACAUAUCUCCCAAGAAAAAAAAAAAAAAAAACUCUGAAACGUAGUGCCAACGAAGCGGAAGCUAAACUUGAAUAAACAUAACCACUUCUUUCAAAUUCAACUAAAUAAAAUUGAAGUUUUUCGAGCUUUAGGCCACAAGCAGGAUAUAUGAUCUGAGUAGACUAAAUCCAUUUUUCUCUGCUUUUUUUUUUUCGGUCACGUUUCCUAUUUCUUUAGCCUAAAAACCACGCGUUCAUCUUAACAUACCAAUAUUCAUAGUACAAGUGUAGCAAAGAUAACAUAGAAUCUACACAACACCCCCAGAUUAAAGCAGAACCCAAGAGAAAAAGAAAAAGAAAAAUGGACCUCUAAGUAAAGUGAGUUUGCGAAGAAGGGAUCAGAGGGAGAGGAUCCCUUCCUUGACGAAGAGGCCGAGCACGAGGAUGAGGAAACCGAGGGUGAUGCAUUGGGUGGCGGACACGAUGGUCUGCGAGUACGCCAACAGCGUUACGCCCGCGCCCACGCACCCUAUCAAGAACCCGCUCAAGUUCCGAUCCAUCCCUGAUCCCUGAUCCCUGAUCCCUUUCUCUCUCUCUCUCUCUCUUUCUAAUUUCCCUUCUCAAAGAUGCUGGUGUGGAAGAGAAUACAAGUAGCCCCAAAGUCAACUGGUUUUACACAGGGAAAUGAGAUAGAGAAAAACAACAACAACAAUAAUAAUAAUAAUAAUAAUAAUAAUAAGAGAACGUGUUUGACUUUUCCUCUAAUGUAUCUUGAUGUCGUAUAUAAAAAAAAAGGGAUUUUUAUAUUAUGAGUUUNCUCUCUCUCUCUUUCUAAUUUCCCUUCUCAAAGAUGCUGGUGUGGAAGAGAAUACAAGUAGCCCCAAAGUCAACUGGUUUUACACAGGGAAAUGAGAUAGAGAAAAACAACAACAACAAUAAUAAAAAUAAUAAUAAUAAUUCUAAAAAUUUGUAUAUUGUCAAAUAUGUAUUAUAAUUUUUUACAGUAUAUAAAAAAAAAGGGAUUUUUAUAUUAUGAGUUUAUGAGUGCCGGCUUUUAAAUAUACUUUAAUUUUUUAAUAUUAUUAUUAUUAUUUUUUUUUGAGAGAAAGGUAGCACGCUACUCGCUUCAUUCAUUUAGAAAGUGAAUUAAGCUACAUGAGUGAGGCAACGCAGGCCUCAGAGAAUGGCGGAAAAAAAAAAGGGUUUACAGUUCAAUCACUUCUCUGGGCUAAGUUUGUUCCAUAGGUCCGUCAGCUGCUUAACCUUGUAGAUACUGGCUAUUGGGUCAGUCUGGGUCAUCCUGAAUAUUGCUCUGUUCCUGAGGUCCCAAAUGACCCACCGACAGGCUAUAAGUCCAAUAAGCCCAGGAGAAGCCGGUUGACUUCGCUUCCUUUCCGUCCAUCUCUCCCAUACCAUGUGUACAUCAUCACCCAAAUCUCCCAGGUGGGUGAUCACCUCGGUCUUUACCAAAAGGAAUCUAGUAACCACACAUUGGGUGAAUAGAUGAUUGAUUGUUUCCUCUUCCAGUCCGCACAGCAUCAUUUUGUAUUGCCAGUCCAUCCCCUCUUUGCCAAAUUGUCGGCUGUAAGCGGUUUCUUCUUAAGGACGAGCCAACAGAACACUUUCACUUUAAGGGGUAUACGUAAACACCAGAUCUUGCCAGUACGGGCAUCCCUCAUGCCACCGUCCCUUAGUGUUGAAUAAGUUGACUCCACAGUAAAGCAUCCAUCAGUGCUCCAACGCCAAAGCACGCUGUCCUGUCCCUGACUAAUACAAGCGUUAGAGAUCCUGUCCUUAAGAGCUGUAAUGCUCGCGUUCACGCUGGGAUUACCAUAGAUGUCGUCACCCAGAAUCGUAUCCCAACACCAACCAUUACAACUCAAACAAUCACUGAUUUUCAAAUUUGUACGAGGCUGCGAUAGAUAGAAUAUCUCAGGGAACAACGAGCUAAGGGUCAUUUCCCCACACCAACGGUCUUCCCGUUACCCAACUUAUAAAUAGCUCCCCAUUUGAAGAUUUCUUUUAGGCUAAGUACUCCCUUCCACCAAAAGGAAGGCGGUCUGAAAAAACCUCCCUCCUUUAAUGGUAUUCUUCGACGAUAGAAUAAGUCAUGAAUUAAUUUAUUCCAUUGCAACUGUGGUGCGUUCUGAAAUUUCCACCACCACUUAACGAGGAAGGCUCGAUUCAUCGUACUAAUGUCGAGGAUGCCCAAGCCUCCCUCAUUCUUACUCCGACACACACUCUGCCACGAGGCCAGGCAUCUAAUACCUGGAGGAUUCUGGCCUCCGGUCCAAAAGAAAUCUCUUCGUAGAGUCUCAAUACGCUUAAUUACCCAUUUAGGAGGCAUGAAAACCGAGAGAUAGUAAAGGGGUAGAUUAGAGAGCACGACAUUUACCAGGAUGAGUCUGCCCCAUCUCGAUAGUAACUUUUCUUGCCACCCGUCGAUUUUAUUUUGGAUUUUACAGAUAAUCCCUCUCCAGUCCUCCUUACAAGGUGGUCUGGUCGACAAAGGCAAACCUAGGUAUCUAGUAGGUAGACCACCGACUUUGCAUCCGAGUAGGUGCGCAAGCACACAAGCUUUUCCUUCUGUCCGUCCAGUGUAGUAAAUUUUCGACUUCUCUCUAUUAAUUCUCAUUCCCGACGCCCAUUCGAAGAGUUGCCAUAAGAAUUUUAGGUUUCGCAAGCAUUUUUUUCCUGGCCUCACAGAAGAAAAAGGUAUCAUCUGAAAAUUGGAUAAGGGUAGUCCUGGAGGCCUCUGUGGGACCAAUACUAGUAAUGAGAUUAUUACCCAUUGCCUCAUUAGUCAGUCUGGCUCAUUAGUCAGUCUGGCAAGACAUUCCGCAACUAGUAGGAAAAGGAAAGGAGAGAGCGGGUCCCCCUAUCGUACGCCCCUCUUUGUUUUAAUCCAAUUAGUGGCGUCAUCAUUAAUCAGAACUGCGACCUUGGCAUUGCAAAUGCAUAGUUUGAUCCAGUUGCACCAGGUUUCAUCGAAACCCCACCAACGUAAGCUGCUAAAGAGGAAGGGCCAGUAGAUUCUAUCAUAAGUCUUUUCGAAAUCCACCUUUACCCCGACUCCCUCUACCGCCGACCUAGUUCCCCAGCCUAGGAGCUCACGGACGGCUACAAAAGCAUCAGUGAUGUUUCUCCCUUUGAGGAAAGCCAAUUGGGAGGGGGAGAUAAGGUCGCUCAUAACCUGUUCCAUCCGAUUGGCUAAUACCUUGGAUAUGAUCUACUGGAUCCUGUUCAAGAGACUUAUGGGUCUGAAGUCGUUCGCUCGUUUAGCUCCUUCCUUUUUCGAAAUAAGACAGAUAUAGGUGUAGUAAAUUGGGCCGGUGGUCAACGUCCCCUCGAACAAUUCUUGAAAUAUAUUCAAUAAGUCUCCCUAGAGAAUGUCCCAGAAAGUUUGGUAGAAGCUGAGAGGGAAGCCGUCAGGUCCUGGCUCCUCGUAUUUUAAUAUUAUAUUAAUACAAUGAUUUCACCACUAACAGUAAUAAUUUGCAAGGAUCAAAUAAUUUAGUAAAAACGCUUCAGUUUAAUUAUUAAUAUUGGAACUUUUGAUUCUUAAAUUUUUUAUUUUAUUUUUUUUCAUCCAUGAAAAAUUAUUCGCGCCUUACAAUUAUUAUAUUAAUAAGUAUACAUAGGAUGUGUUCAUAUCAGUGCUAAAAUUUCGGAUCUCAUGGGAACUCUGCAGUUAAGCGUUUUUGGGCGACCCCUAGAAGCUUUAUGCCUACGGGCUUAUGGAGUUUGGAGGUCAGAGAUAUCCCCACAUACCAUCUCAAAUAAAAAAGAAAAAAAAACAAGAAAUUUCUUUUCUUACCUUAUAAAUAAUAAUUUAUUGAUUUACUUUUUUGUUCUUUUGAGUGCGUAUACAUCCCGAAUAAUUUGUCAAUAAACAGUGAAAAGAGAAAAAAGAAGAAGAAGAUCCCAAUAAUAACACAUCUGCAAACAUGAAGGAAACAAAGUAUAAGAUGAAGAAGAGCUUCCAUGGAAGAGUCUUUGUAGAGUUAAGAACAAAGUCCAUGUCCCUUCCACUCUCUAUCACUUCACAUACUCCUCUUCUUUUCCAGCUUCCUCUAACUCUCUCAACCCUCCAACCUUUUGCUCAAUCUCUUCAAUCAACUCCUCUCUCCACAACUCUGCCCUUGCAGCUUCCUCAAUGUCUUCUUGCUACAUAAUGCAAAACAUACAUAACUGAUCAGUUUUUCUUUUCUUUUCUCUUUUUAUUAAGAAUAGGCACUAAUUAACAUGCUUCUUAGUACGCUCUUUGAUAGAGAAAUUUACCUUCUCGUAGACCCAGUGCACUGUUCCAUCUCCCCCAUCUUUCCUGUACUCCUCUCCAUCAUAAAAAGGAUCCUGUUUCAUAGCUUUUGUUGUAAUUGCAGAGAACAUAAAACAUGACAAGUUCUCGUGAGAUUGAUUGGGUGAGUGCUCACUUUCAUGGAUCCAAAGAAGCAGCAUCCCCAGCAUGUGAACAUAAUGUACAAAGUGUCUACAAAAGGCCCUCGCGCAUAGUAAUUAAGGCGAAAAGUGUAAAAAACAAAAAAAACCAAAGGUAACAGCUUAUGAUUUCUCGUUCUUUUAGUUUUGGAGAGUGUGUUUGUUACUCACAAACAUUCUUCAUGGCUGCGUCGCUGAGAUGCCAAACUGAUUUGUGGACGACGUAGUCUCGUUGUCCUGCGACGUGCUCGAUCAUAAUUGCCAUGAGAGGCCAAUCUGGGAAAGCAUUCAACUUCCAUGAAGAGCUCCCUCUUCCCUUUUUCCCUCCAAUCUACAAGCAACCAAAAAACAAAAAAAGACAAUGAAAUCUCGUGUUAUCGAUCGCCGUAUUCUGAUAUUUGUUAAUACAAUCUUGCUUUCAGCAAUUCUACGAAGAUGUUCAGAAGACGAAAUAAUCUUUACCUGAGACCAACUAAUGUUUCCGCGACAUUCUUGAACUUUUCUGAGCUGUGAACAUAAUGAAAAGAACCAAAAGCAUGCACUCAAACAUUUAAACAAUUAGAAAUUCAAAAGAAACAUGAAUGGUGACUUGUAGCAAGUUGUGAUUAGAACUUUGUCAAGUGAGUGGAGAUCCGAUUUUGCGGAUUGGAAGGCAGGGCAGUGAGCGUGGGGCUUGAAUACUGGCAAAGCCAUUAAGUUGGUCUUCUGUGUUUCUUCAGUCUCUUUGAGAGUUUAGGCUAUACUUUUGAGCUCCAUUUUUUGCCUCAGGUGCAUGUAGUUGGGUAAGGUUGAGGGGUGGAUAAGGAAGCUUAGGCAUUCAACCUUUUCCACACAAAUUCAGUGUCUUUGUCAAUACCACCAGACCUGUCCAAGCCCACCAUGACCCAAGAAAGGUGGGCUUUGGUUGAAGCCCCAAAGAUCUGGACCCCUUGCAGGGUUAGUUUUGGCCCAUAUUAUUAAAUAUAAAAAUAUGUAAAUACUGUUCUCUAUUAAGCUUUUAGAGUAGAAUAAUUGUUUUAUAUAUUUCACAUGAUAUCAGAGCAGGAGGUUCUGAGUUCGAGCCACGCUAAACUCCUAGCAUUAUUAAUUUUCUCCCAUUUAAUUCAAAUUUAUGUCAUAGGUCUUGUAAAAGGUCUCGAGCCCAGACGUGGGGGUUCACACAUAUGGCCAAAACAUCUUGCAGCUUUCCUGAAAAUUUUUUUACCUCUUGUUCAAUACAUAUGCUCUUUUUAAAUAGCAAAUUAUGGGAGCAUGCCUAUUCAUGUUGAUAGAGAUAUACCGAUCUUUUAGAUUCACAGUUGUAAGCGCUCUAUUUUUCAGUCUCAUUCUUAAUUACCAGCAGCACUAACAAUAGAAAAUUAUGCGCGCCCUAUGUAUAAAAUAGCAUAUAGUUUAUGCAAGAGGUUCUUUUGCUUUUAUUACAUCCUUCAGACGUAAAGCUUCGUUUAAUUUAUUUAACAGUGUUAUUUUGCUGAAUCCUGAACAAAGGAUUCACGGUCAAAGAGGGUGACUUGGGCUAAGAAGUGUGGAAACAGUUAUAAUAGCUAUGCAUUCUCGUGUUGGGACUUCAAAUCUUAUUACUGGAAGAUUAUAAGUGGUGCUAAUGCAUGGAUAACUUAUCAUGAAUCACUAGGUUGUUAACUCCCAGGUCUUUUUAAUACCAACCCCACCUUAGUAUAUCUCAAUGGUGGAUUGUGUGACAAAGGCAAAUGUUGAAGCCCAUUACCAAAGUAGAAACAUCAGAGGAGUAGGCAAUGGCAACUUAUGGCAAAAGUAGAAACACAGGAGAAGCACAUAAGCAUUAGUGAGUGGACCUCUUAAUGGAGUUGGAAUGCACCAAGCAACUUUAGUUGAAACAUCUUGCUAAUAAAAAAUACUUGGAACAAAACUCAUUUGAGCAAGUAAGGGUAGGUGUAGAAAAUAGCAAAACCACAAUGUGCUUUAGUUGGCAUAAGUAGAUGUCACACUAUCUCAUAGCUAGAGAUCUACAGUAUUAUUAUUAUAUUCAUUAUAUUCAUGUAUAAAAUGAUCCUCUCACUCUAAAUACCAUCCAAGCAAAAACACAAGCUACUUCGAAGUUCUAAUUCCUCAGUUGGAAACAAAAUGAAGGAGCAUGGGGAAACUUCUAAAGCUCCAAUGGUUGGAGGAGGGAUCAGUAGGGGUGUUUCUAUACUAGACUCAGUCCUUCGUCUUGUCGCGAUAGUCGGCACUAUAGGGAGUGCUAUAGCCAUGGGAACUACUAAUGAAACCCUCCCUUUCUUCACGCAGUUCAUUCGGUUCAAGGCGGAAUAUAAUGAUCUCCCAACCUUCACGUAAGCAAUAAUGCGUAUAACAACUAAUGUUGCAAUAUGUUCUAACAUUUGAGGUUAGUUGCAUGCAUUUUGUUGUGAAUCAUUUGUUUCUCUUUUGUUGUCAACAGCUUCUUUGUGAUCGCGAACUCAGUGGUGUGUGCUUAUCUUGUUCUCUCGAUUCCUCUAUCCAUUGUGCACAUCAUCAAGAGCAGCGCGAGAUAUACGAGACUAGUGCUAAUCUUCUUUGACGCGGUGAGAGAACUUUUAAUAUAGUGGGAUAGCUAAAACAAAAGUGGAUGAGAUUAUAAAGCUAGUAAGUCGGCAAUUAAUUGGCCCUUUUUUGUAUUUUGUUUCGAAUUGGUGAAGGUUAUGCUAGCACUAUUGACGGCGGGGGCUUCAGCAGCGGCGGCCAUAGUGUACCUUGCUCAUAAGGGCAAUGUCAGAGCCAACUGGUUAGCGAUUUGCCAACAGUUCAACUCAUUCUGCGAGCGAAUCUCUGGGUCACUGAUUGGUUCAUUUGUUGCCGUCAUCGUGCUGAUACUCCUCAUCUUCUUAUCUUCGUCAGCCCUCGCAAGGCAUUGAUUGUUAGGAAUUGAAAAUGAUCGCGCGCCCGUUUGUGUUUGUGUGUGUGAGGAUUAAUGAGUGGUUUAGUGGUGCUUGUUGUGUGACUAUCUCUCUAUAAAAUGUACGUUCCUUUUUCUAUUUUGUUGAAAUUGGAUUAUGCCUCUACGUUCAGCUGUUAUUUUUUCCUUAUGUCUUUGCUGCGGAUGCUAUUGUUUGUAUUCUAAAAUUUGAAAUGCAAUGCCAUCAUGUUAUGCAUAAAAGCAUUAUAGCCUAUAUAGAUUGAGUAUUUAUUUCUUCUAAAUAAUUAAGUGAAAUAAUUAUUAAUUGGCCUAUUAGCUCAGUUGGUUAGAGCGUCGUGCUAAUAACGCGAAGGUCGCAGGUUCGAGACCUGCAUGGGCCAUUAAUUAUUUUGAUUCCAUUUUAGUGAUACUUAUCGGAUAUAAAAUUUAAACUUGUUGUUUACUUAAAUAAAUUUAUAGUUAAAUGGUGCUUUGAGAUUUUAUAGUUAAAAAGUCAGCAAUUGAUUUAAAUCGAACAAACAAAAAGAUUAGAUAAUAAAACCUAAAUUUUAUUUAAGUAAUUUGAUCACUCAUUGAAUAAUAUAAAAUUUAAACUAAUUGUUUAAUUAAAUAAAUUUAUAGUUAAUCAAAUUGUAUAAAAUAUGCCAACUAAAUUCAUAACCAUAAAUGACAUAUUCAAAUUUAGAAUUUUAAAAAAGUAACUAACUAAUUUGAAUCUAACAAAUUAAAUGAUUGGACAGUGAAAAUCUAAAUUUUAACAUUUAUAGCAGUAAUAGUUGCGAAUAUAUUUUAUAUAUUUUUUAACUUACAUUAAUCGCACAUUACCCAAAAAAAUUAUUCUAUCAAAAGCAUUAUAUGUAGUGGAUCGGACUUAUACACUGACCGGCCCAUUAUCAGCCUCGUUGUAGCCCACGCUUCUAUCUUUUUUUAACGGCUAGGAUCUAAUCAAAGCUUAUCCUGAUACGACUAGAGAAGUAUCUAGAUCUCUCGCGGGUCUCUAUAUACACAUCGGAACAAUCUCAAACCCUCUCCGGUGAUCCAUUUCCAUCAGCAAAACCCCUCAAGCCAUUCUUGUUACGCCUUGCAAACCCUACCUCACAGUUCACCGAUCAUCUCUGAUCAUCGUCCCCACGAGCACGCGCCAUGGCGAUCAUCUCCGAUCUCGAAGAGGAGCCCGCCCCGUCGCAGUCCCCUUCCUCCGCCGGCGACGAGGAGGUGCUCUACUCGAUCCUCUCGAAGCAAGGCCCAUGGCCUUUCGUGGAGACGGUGUUCGAUCUCCUCCGCCGGAGAUCCGAUCUCUUCGAGGACGCCGACGCGGUGCCGCGGAUCAUGUCGAUGGCCUCCGCCGCGAAGGCGAAGGCGGAGGAGAAGCGGAGGAAGGAGAAGGAAGAGGAGGCUCGCAGGGCCGAGAAGGUGAAGGAGGCUGAGGCCGCGGCGGCGAAGAAGGUCGAGGAGAAGAAGGCGGAGCCGGAGCCCUCGAAGAAGCCCUCCGAGGGAGCGGCGGGGGAGGAGGAGGAUGGAAAAGGCGGGAGAAGUGAGUUCUCUAUCUCUCUCUAUUUGCAUUAGAUGUUUGUAAUACUUUAAUUGAAUCUCCUCUUCCUAUUAUCUUUGUUUUUUCGAUGCUGAUUUUAGGGUUUUGAUACUUGUAUGCAAAAUUGAGAUUAGAAACUAUAAUACUACCUCACUACUUUGGAUGUGGAAACUGUAACAUAUCGUUGCUAUGUGUGAAAAUCUAAGAACAAAGGAAACAAAAUCGAACUUUACUGUAGCACAUUCCCAUUAUUAAGGGAUCUAUAGAAAUAUCACUAUUGGCACGUGAGAAGCCGAUAUCGAAGAUCAAUAGGGAAUGGAAGAAGAAGAGGAAAAGAUGUGGUUAGUUAUUUGGUAGCCAUUGAGCGAAGCCAUGUCUCGAACUAUUAAAUUGGAUAUUGGUUUCGAUUUUGACCCUACGAUAGCUGGGACUGAAUAUGCUUAAAUAGCACCACCUGAUAAGUAAUCUAGCUCAAAUUUAUUGGCGUGAAUUUCCAUAGAAGAGUAGAAGGCCUUGUAUAAAGUAUAUAAAAAUUGCACUGUUGUUUUUGCAGUGCUAGUUACUUAUAACUAUUUACAUAUUUAAGAUAGUUUUUUUUUUUUUUGUCCCCCUCCCCUAUAUAAGACUUUAAGGUUUUGUUUAUUUAUUGGCACUGUGAUAUCAAGGUUCAUCUAAUUGACAUGGUGUCCUGCUUGUUAUGUCCAAAAUAUGCAGUACCUCUUAUAAUGAAUAAAUAAAUAAAUAAUCACAUAAUUGGUUCAAUGUAUACACCUUCCAUCCAUGUGGAAAGAGACAAUUGAAAAGCAAUUGAAUUUGCUAGUUCAUUUCAUUGGGACAAAAGAAAGGCAUACUGAAUAUAGGAUCUUCAAUGGUUCGAUAAAUCUCCGUUUCCGUAAUACUGAUUUACAGUACUUGAUGGAUGCUUAAUUGAACAUAUGAGUUGCAUAUUGUAUGCUUUCCAUCUUGUUUUCAGUGUGCUUACGCUGUUCCUGAAGUUCUUGCAGCUGUUGAACCUUCUGAAGUUAUAUUUGUUUGAAUGUUCUAAAUAUAGUAUGCUCUGUGCGAUGUGGAUGUGAUCUUUUUUAUACUUACUUUUGUUUAUAUGGUGCUUCUGUUAAUCAUUUAGAGCCGAAUUCUGGAAAUGGUCUUGAUUUGGAGAAAUAUUCCUGGACUCAGACUCUACAUGAGGUUAAUGUUAGCAUCCCAGUUCCUAAGGGAACCAAAUCGAGGCUUGUCACCUGUGAAAUAAAGAAGAACCAUCUUAAGGUUGGGCUGAAGGGGCAGCCUCCCAUUCUCGAUGUGAGUAGUGCGACGCCUUUCUCUAUUCCUUUCUUACUCACUCUGGUUUAGAAUAUUGCUUCUUAUCAUCAGUUGGGAUGAAAAUGUUUUCUACAUAUGUGUGUUAAAUUUUGUUUUAAAUCACUUUCGCUUCUUGCAGGGGGAGCUAUAUCAGUCGGUGAGACCAGAUGAUUGUUUCUGGAGCAUAGGUAUUUGUAUAACAGUACACAUGAUCUCAUGCGGGGUGAUUUUUUUUUAUCCUUUAUUGAUGAUGAUAAAUGUUAUUAUUGCAGAGGAUGAGAAGUCCAUUUCUAUACUACUGACGAAGCAAAAUCAGAUGGAAUGGUGGAAAUCUGUGGUAAAAGGUGAACCUGAAAUUGAUACUCAGAAAGUAGAACCAGAGAACAGCAAACUAUCCGAUUUGGAUCCUGAAACACGACAAACUGUCGAGAAAAUGAUGGUGAGAUCUUUUGUCUCUAAUUUGUUUUUGUAUGUAUAUUUUCUUUCAUGUGCUCUUGUGAAACAUCUUUCUUCUCUUGGAUCUUACUCCCUUUUGUUGCUCUAAAUUGCCCGUGCAGUUUGACCAGCGCCAGAAAUCCAUGGGUCUCCCAACGAGUGAUGAGAUGCAAAAGCAAGAAAUCCUCAAGAAAUUCAUGGCUGAGGUGAUUGUCUCUGCUUUUGUACAAAGCACCCGUUCUAGUUUUUACCUAUUUAGCUCCCUCUCCCUGGUCAUCUCUAACUUUCUCUCUUUGCAGCAUCCUGAAAUGGAUUUUUCAAGGGCGAAAAUAGCCUAGGGUCUCCGUAUGAUGUUAACGACUCUUGCUUGGAAGAUGGAAGUUCACGGGAAGAUGAAAGCUCACAGGUUAUAAACAUAUGAGCAAUCAGCAGUUUGGCAACAUUUCCUUUUUCCUUUCUCUUUUUCUCUUUUUGUCUGUCCCUUGUGUUCUCAGUUUUCUGGGAAAGGUAGGUUUUGUUGAAUCGAUGAACUAGCAAAAUACUCAUGUUGGGUUGUACUUUGUAAACUGAAUUUUCAGGGCGUGUUAUUUCUUUUUCUCAUUUGAAUCGAUGAUCUUUCCUUGAUCAAUUAGUCUCUGUUUUGGAUUGUGAGUUUAUUUUCGCCUUUUACUCAAAAUGAUUACUCGUAACACUCUAAACUUCAAGCGCUCCAAAAGCUGUUCUUUCUUCAUAUUAUUUAUUAAAGGUGAGAAGUAGUUUGAUGUUGUAUCUUUCAUGCCUCCUCGGCUUCGUUGUUAUGGGAGUAGAGUUCACACUGUUGAAAUCUGUUCUCAAAUACGAAUCUGCGUAGAGACUGCACAAACGUAUCGUUAUUGUUAACAUUUGGGGUUGUGAUUGUGCAACUUUCUUUUGAAGGAAGGAUCGACUUUGCUGUUUGCCGUGUCCCUUCCGAACUUCACCAAUAAUCUCUGCAAGAACACUUCCCGUCCUUAAAAUGGUGGAACCGGUUCCGAUCCCUCACAAUAAUCUCGCGAUCGAAUACUCUCGAUAUAAGCUUGCUCGCCUCAUGACAGUCUCUGCACACUCUCAAAUUCUUCGUGAUGCGAAUUGUCUCACUAGACUUGGUAUGCAACAGCCCAAAUGCUAUCGCAAGCUUCUCGCUAUGGUAAUACAGCGGAUUCUCCUUCUCUUGCUCGCCGAUAUCAUGCAGCACUCCUUCAGUGUCCGGAACAUAACCCGCCAAUCUUAUCCUGUUCAACAUCUCAUCCACAGUCUCAUAUAUCUCUCUAGCUUGAGGAUGAGACAUGCCGCCGCAAAUGAACUCAUUCACCUCGCCAUUCAUCUCAAUCACCGACCGUCCAGCCUCCUUUCUCACCCUGCGGUCGUUCAUUAAUCUCCGCACCUCCGCCACAUCCUCCCACCGACCAGCUUUUGCAUAUAGAUUGGCCAACAAAACAUAUCUCCCGCUGUUCUUCGAAUCCAACUCUAUAACCGUUCUGCCGAUCCUCUCUCCCAUCUCCACAUCCCCGUGAAUCCUGCAUGCUCCCAGGAGCGCUCCCAAAACGCCGGCAUCUGGGCUCAUCGGCAUUUCGUCGAUCACCUUUUUAGCGUCUUCUAACAGCCCGGCACGUCCAAGGAGAUCGACCAUGCAUCCGUAAUGCUCCAUCUUGGGCUCGAUGUUAGAGGCCUGAAUCAUAUAAUUGAAGUAGUAUCGACCCUCACUAACCAAGCCGGAGUGCGCGCAGGCGCUGAGGACGUUCAACAGCGUGAUACCGUCCGGCGUGGCCCCUUCUCUCUCCAUCUGUUUAAAGAGCUCGAUAGCAUCCUCUCCUCUGCCGUGCACCGCGAAGCCUCCGAUCAUGCAAUUCCAAGAUGAAAUCCCUCUCUUUUCCAACCCUUCGAAGACCUCGUACGCCUUCUCCACGCAACCGCAUUUGCAGUACAUGUCAAUGACCGUGGUGGCCAAUUUGGAGUCCAAUUCGAUCCCGUUUCGAGUAAUAUUCUCGUGAAUCCACCGGCCCUGAUCCAGCGCGCCCAGGCCGGUGCAAGCCGCGAGCAUGCUCGCGGCCGCAAACUUGUCGAGCCUGAGACCUUCCCGGCGCAUUCGAUCGAACAGCUCGAACGCAUCGGCGAACCGCCCCACCUGCACGUAGCCUGCGAUCAUGGCAUUCCAGGAGACGGAGUUCCGUUCCGGCAUUACGUCGAACAUCUCGCGGGCUUCGUCGACGAGGCCCGAUCUCGAGAGCCCGCUGAUCAUCGUCGUCCAGGUGACGACGUCGCGGCGUGGCGCGGUGGCGAAGACGCGGCGCGCGACGUCGGGGAGGGCGCAGGAGAGGUAGAAGCAGAGGAGGCUGUUUUGGGAGAAGGGGUCGGAGAAGAAGCCGAGCUUGAGGAGGAGGGAGUGGAGUUGGAGGGCGAAGGGCAGGGAGGAGGAGGGGGAGGGGGAGGCGGAGGGGGANGGUCGCGGCCGAAGCCGGAUUUGACGACGUGGGUGUGGACCAUCAGGCCGUGGCGGGGCUCGGAGAGGGCGGAGAGGAGAGGGGGGAAGGUGAAGCGGUUGGGGAGGAGGGAGAGGGAGAGCAUGCGGGAGAGGAGCGAGGCGGCGGCGGAGGGGGGAAGGGCGCGGGCGCGGAGGAGGGUGUUGAAGAGGAAGGGGUCGGGGUCGGGGAGGAGGCGGAGGAGGCGGAGGGCGUAGGGGAGGUCGCCGGAGGGGUGGAGCGCCAGGAACUUGAGGAGGCGCCCCGCGGCGUCGUUGUUGCCGCCGAGCCCCAGCCGGACCACCUGCGAGUGGUACUGCCGGAGCUCCGACAUGGACGCGAUGGAGUCCAGGCGGCGGCGGAGCGCGUGGCUGUUGUGGUUGAGAUUGGAGAUGGCGGAGGUGGGUUGGAGGAGGGCCAUACCUGGUAUGGUAGGGCGGGAAGAGAUUAGAUUACAAACGGUUACAGCCGAUCAAACAGCACUGCUGUUAUCUAGUCUGCUACCAAUGGAUUUGAACCACCUUUGCGUGCAUUCAGAAGCUUAGAACUCGGUUAGCAUGUUUAUUAAAUAAAAAAAAAAGAAAAAAAAAAAAGAAAAGAGAGAACGUACAGCCCAUAGGCAUGGUUACAAGCUUCACAAUUAUUGAUUAAUUUAUUUUAAACAAUUUUUAACAUAGUAUCUCACAGAAUAUUACCUUUCUUAAACAAGAAAACCAACCAAAAUAAUAUUAUACACUAUACUAUACUAACUCAUCAGCAAUAUUUGUCCCAACAUUUAUCCCAACAUUUGUCCACGUGUUUAUGAGCGACUAUACAACUAAUAUAUGCGCUCCCAAAGCUCAUUUCUCUGCUCGUGACCUGGCUCGGAGAAGAAUUAGGUACAUCAGAAGACAAUACAGCAGAAGAUAAACAAAGAACAUACAAGACGACAAAACUGAGAAUCACAAUAUAACAACACCAGGGAAACACUUCAACUUCGAUGUAUAUAUCCUCCCCAACAAUAGGCUAGCAAAAAAUCUGAAAAAAGUAGCUUCAUCCAACUUUAGCCACGGAAAAUGCAUUUCUCAUCCAUCAAAUAUCUUCACAGAAUAUACAAGCCACUCGCACCAUCUAAGCGACGAUACUGCACUUUAUGAUAAUAAAAUGUUCAAGUCAUCUGAAGAUGACAUUUACUCAGAUAAAAGGAUCGCUACUGUACAAAUAUCUAUACAACAAAGGGGGAACCUGUACAUAUAUGAUCUUUGACCUAAGUUGAGAUGCAUAGAUCCACACUUCCAACAACUAAAUAGACAGAUUUCCUACACAUCCUGCCUGCAUACAGGGCAUGACCCACGCCCAGCAAGCCAUUUGUCCACGCAAGACAGAUGAAAAGUAUGAGAACACAGAGGCAACCUCCGCACAGUCUCCCCUGUCAUGAUAUCCUACCAGAAAGACUAUGUAUUAGGUUCUCAUAGAAUUAAAUUUAGCCACAAGAGAGAGAGAGAGAGAGAGAGAGAGAGAGAGAGAGNAUUAGGGCAGACUAUAAAUGCUCAAUCUAAAUAGAACACUAAAGCUCUACAUAGAGGAUAAGUUGAGCAAGAAAAAAGAAUCAAACUUGUAAUCUGUUUGUAACUAUUAAUGUUAAUGUGUUUCAAGUUUGCUGUAAUUGAUAAAAACGAGAUAACUUUAACAUCUUGUAUUAGUAGGGAGUACCUGCAAACAAAUGGUGCAAGAUAUGUUCUCACCACAGGAAUCCCUUUUCUCAUCAGUGAUUACAUAGUGCGGUAACUUCUUCAGUGACUCGCUAGAUAGCCCUUUGGAUCCGAUCUCACCAAAAAUAUCAUAUGUAUCAUCCUGCCCAAGGUCUGAGAUGCUUACCUGUCAAAUUUAAGCAGAGGCAACUUUUUAGGCAACAAUUCAAAUGGAGAUUAUAUUCGGUAAUCUGGUGUCACCUACAUGACGUGACUACUCAGCCAUUCAUUUUGAUAUAGCCCUUUGAAGGUCUGUUGAAGAUAGGAAGGCUAUCAUUUUAUUUCCACUAUUUGAAAGGUUACAUUUUGAUUGAUGGUGAUUGGACAUUAUUCUAAAAAGAUGACAAUUUAUACAUUCGAAAGAAACCCAAAUUAGGAGAUCAUGUUGCAGACACAUUUGCUAUUAUCGUUAUACAAUUUACAACUCCCACAUCAUGUUCAUUGUUGUCUUCCUACCACAUAGAAAGGUAAAAAUAUAUGUAAAAAUGAUUUUGUAGGCUAAGUAUUGAAGAACACUAGAAGAUUUCGAUUUUUUAGUUUAUACCAACAACUUUAACAGACCCAUGAAUAGGGUACUGAGAGUUAAAGCCUCCAACUGCCUUUGAUGAAGUACAACUGUUGACAGGUAAUACAUUCUCAUUCUCUCUUUCAAUGGUGGCACUAAAAGAUGCAUCCAAACACGCAUGAGUCAGGUCACUAAAGACAAGUGAUCUGUAUACGAUUGCUUCUAACAUAUUAUUGCUAGAUGGCAACAUUACAGCUCAAGGGCCAGCAAGUCAUUAUCAUAUUCAUGUCCCAUAACUCAACACCACAAGUUGAAGCCUCAAGGGACAGCAAGUCAUAAUGAUAUUCACAUGUGUAAUAACUCAGCACCAUACCUCAAUGGACAGCUAGUCAUCAUCAUAUCCAUAUGACUGACAGGUCAAUUUUCUAUGUGCUUUGAUAUUCUAGAUAAGGCAUAUAUUUUGAACUCAUUCACCAAUAGCUAGCAAUUAUAGUGUCAGAGUACAGUAUUGAAUCUCAAGAAGAACGAGUGAGCUCAAGACACAGAAGAAUAAUCGCAGCAAUGCCAAGUAUUUAUUAUUUAAACAAACCUUUCUUUUCUUGGAUCGCCUCGUGACAAAGUUCAGUCAGAUACUAAAGGAGAAAGGCUCCACAGUUAUAUGGCCAACUCGAAAGAGACAAUAUAAUUUAAGUUGAUCAUACCAGAUUCAUUUUAAACGAACAGAUUAUAAAAAUGGAUGCUAUAAGAGACAAGCUGUAACAAGGGAUGCAGGCAAAGGAGGAAACUGAUAGAUAACCAACCUGCCAGCGGUAUGCCGUAAAUACUGCCGGUGCAAAUUGUUCUUGUACAAACCGACCAUGAAGGAGCUCUUCUAUAAAAUCUGCCUGUGGAAGUGAAAAGGUUUAUCAUAUCAUAUCUUCCAGGUGGCAUUGUCACUUUUAUAAUGAUGACGGCUUCCAAAUUUUUAGAAAGAAAACACUUCCAGCAUUGGGCAAAUGGUAUAUAUGCUCGAAUAGAAAGGGGAAAAAUUGAAAUCUCAUAAAUAAAAGUUCUGCAGAAAAACUGGGGUCGCAAGAGCAUGCAGAUUUUACCCCAAGAUUAUCCCAACGAAAGAAACAGCAAGAUAACUUUAUAGAGCUCACAAACCAUGGAGGAUGUAUGCUGGGAGCCAGAUCGUUCUGAGCACCAAUAGGCACGGGAAGCUUCUAAAACCUCCAUAGAAAGGACAGCUCCGGCGACCGCUCCUAAACCGGCACCACGAAAGACACCACUAUCAGAGGCUCUGCCAGCCAAGGCACCAGUAACAGCUCCAGUGAAAGCUCCAGCUGCCAUGCAUGGCAACCCAAAAAUGAGACCAAAAAAUGAACAGAUACUCACCUAAUUACACCCUUUCCAAUUUAAAGGGCUGUCCCACAUUUUAUCCAAAGAGGAUGCCUAACAUAAUUACCGCACAUAAACUCGUUUCUAUGAUGAUUUUUCUAGUAACACAUUGAUAAAAUCAGAGUAUAACUCAAUCAAAUCAUAUAUCUCGGGGAGAAAGUGUUUUGUUCGCAAUGAAUAGAGAAACAAACUUAAUGCCGAUAAACUUAUGAAGAACCAAACUUAAUGCUGAUAAACUCAUAAAAUUAUGUCGGUGAAGUUUACUAGGCAGUAAGGUAUCAUUCCCUAGCCCAAGAUCACCGGAUGAAGUGAGACUCAUCUUAUACUUUCGGGUGGCAAACUGGAUCUGGAUCUGAUAUUUACCCAUAACGAUCUAACAAGAUCACCACGUAACACGAUAUCUAUCUCAUACUUCCGGCUAGCAAACAUACUACUUCUGGCUGGCAAACCGACUCUGAUACCAACAGUAAAACCCCAGAACUCCCACAUCGGACUCUAAUACUAAUAACUGGCUUAAACAUUUUGGCCAGGCAAUAUGCGCCUAAUGAAUUAUUAUUUCUGGUGGGUUAGGUAGUUACAAUUCUAACACAGGUAAAAACAAAACUGGGAGAAAAAAAGAAGAGAACGCUUUGAUUACCUAGGGCGAAGAGACCCGUGAGAGCUCCGGAGAUCGCCCCGGAGAUCAACCUCGGAAUGUACACGGCGACGCCUCUCCCUCCCAACCCGUCGCCCCCAUCCACCAUCGCCGCCGCCGCCGCCGCCGCCGUGGUGGCGCGCGGCCGGGCACAGGCAGUGCAGAGGCGCUGGGCGUCGUCACGGGAGCCUCCGCAGGAGCAGUGGGCCCCCACCACCACCUCCAUGCAAAGGGGAGGAGCAGAGCACGAAGAAGCCCUAAACGACGGAGGAGGAGGUGGACGGAAGCCCAAAAACCCUAGACUUGACCUAGAAUUGGAAAUUGAUUGCCAUUUUGAGGAGGGAGGGGUCGAGUUCUCGAUGCGAUUUGGGGGGAGGGGUAGGGUUUGAAACGAGAGGGGGAGGAGAGGGGGAAGGCCCCGAAAGAGCCGAGGGUCUGGGGAGGUGGUGGGCCCUCUUUCAUUUUGUGCGCAUCGUCUCCGCGAUCUUUUGUCGGUGCUGCUUCUCGGCACGAAAUUAGGCUGCGGGGAGGAUCUGGUUGGGGUCGGUUCGACUUGAUUUGAGCUUGAAGUGCAUCGGGCCCUAGCUCUCGGGUUCGUUGUCGAGUCCCUUGGUUUUCAACUUAUCCGCAGGAUAAAGUACAUAUUUCAGUUUCGUGUGAAAUUUUGGAUUCACUCGAGUUCUGUUAUAGAGUUUUCCUGUGGUUGAAUCUAACCCAGUAAGACGACAACUUUUAUGCGCAACUACUGCAGCAACUCAAUUUCGGAUCCAUCUUCAACCUCCUCCCAUGCCACCCCCAAUUGAUCUCCUCUUUUCCCAACACUGACCAAACAAAAGGAUCCAUAUAGACACUAGAUGAAAUUUAGUGGGCUAAUGACAAUAGUUGAAAUUUGAAAUUCUGCUUGCUAAAGAACUAAAAGCUCAGGUAUAUGUAUGCAUUUAGACGUAAAACAUAGAAACAAAAGCUAUGUUUGUUGCCACAUUGUCAAGCCCAGCUACAAGUUUAUGACUAAAUAGGAAUCUUCGAUCAUCAUGAAAUCCAAUAAGUGCACUAAGACUCAGAAACGAUGGGGCAAAAAAAAGAAAAAAAAAAAAAUCUAACCUUUCACCUUGAAAAUUUCAAAGCAAAAACCAUACUUUGAAGCAGAUGACAUCAAUCAGAAAGUUUUCACAGAUCAAAACUACCAUCAUAUGCCAUAAGAUGGUGAUGAAUAAUGAUCAAAGAAUUGUCAUCAUCUCACCCCUAUCUUCGUACACAAACAUCAUGCAAAGGACUGAAAUGCCAUGUGAAAAAUGCCAAUGAGAACAACCAUAGAACCUUCACCCCUUGCCAUCAAAUUAAGUCUCAAAUAAUCCAUCCUCCUACAAAAGACCCAAAACAAUUGCCUUAGUGCAUCCUAUGGUCACGGAGGAGUAAACCAGGAAGGUGAAAACCACAAUGUUUACAACACUGCUCAAACAUUUGGGGAACAUAACACUGCUCAAGGCCCACAAUCACAAUGAAAGAAGAAUUCCAUACAUAGUAUGAUAGUUCAAGCUACGUUAUUAAAAGCAGACAUAGAUUUCUGCAAGUUUCAUCAGAGACUUGCGAGAACAAAUUCAGUAUGAAAGCAGACAACACAUGAAAAACAUAACAAGGAAACCCCCAUCUUUAUUUAGUAGCUAGGGUUGUGGGGGUAUCAAACCACACCAACAGUGGAGACGGAUCAUUCAUCAUCAUAGUUGUGGUGGCGGCGGUGGUGAUGCUUCUGAUGGCGGCUCUUCUUUUCCUCAUCCAAAUCAUCACCCUGCCAGUAGCCCCAAACAAAAAUUAUUUGUCAGUCGUCUAUAACUCAGUUGGAAACAAAAACUGUUUAUUCCUACUGAUCUGGGAACGACAAAUAUACAGUCGAAAAGCAAAGAGAUGCUUGUCAAAGAGGGAAAAUGCAACAUAAGAGUAUUAACUAGUUAGUAUUUGCAUACAGAUUUAAACAAAAGGAUUCCUCAAGUAUGAUUCAUGGUCCUUUCUCAACUCCUACUCCUACUAGCGAGGGAGGAAAAUGCAAUAACCUCUUAGUUAUUGCUGACUCGCACCUCCUUACUAUUUCACUUGAAAGCCGAUACAGAGCCUUGUUAUGUCUCCUCUACAUUCCCUCACCUAAUUAUUACAUACAGCCCUAAAAACUUCAAAACGUUUAAGGCACAUUUCUCAGACAUUGGUCAUUUUCUCCCAUCAGAUGUUGAUCAUGUAAAAGCCAUAGAGGGCCACCUCCCAGCUAACAUCUCUGUAAGAACAUAUGCUCCGAAUCCUUUAAUACAUAUAGGCAGAUGAUUCUUCAUUCUUUUACAGCUCAUCUAAGAAAAAUAACAUAAUUCAGCGAUCAAGUAAGUCAUCUAUAUCUUUAGGUCACAUGCCACUGGAAGAAAGCUACUACAUUACUAUUGAAGUCCCAUUGCCCUUAGCAUUAUCUCGGCCUUAACCGAACAUUCACAUAUUAUAAGAAACAUAACUACAGCGGUCUAAACAUGUCACAAAUUCAAGCAAGUUCAUCAAUGGAAAUAAAUGAUACGAAAUUAAGUGUUUGCAGCCUGAAGAAAGUUAGAGAAGAAUGUAUAGAACUCACAUAUUUCGGGCGGCUAUACCCUUCCUCUUGCUCCUGGCUAUAGUAACUCGGCUUCUGGUACUUACCACUCUCCUCCACAUGCCCUGCAUAAGAGGGCUUCUCAUAGCUAGGUUUCGCCGAAUACCCAAACCCUUCACUAGCCCCAUAGCCACUACCACCAUAAGUUUCCACCUCACUCUUCUGAUACCCAUAAUCUCCACCACUCUGAGGCCUCUCAUAGCUAGGUUUCGCUCCAUACCCAUACCCUUCACUACUUCCAUAUCCACUACCACCAUAAGUGUGCUCACUCUUCUGGUACCCAUACUCCCCACCGCUCUGGGGCUUCUCAUAGCUAGGUUUCGCCCCAUAUCCAUAGCUACCACCACCAUAAGUUUGCUCCUCACUCUUCUGGUACCCGUACUCCCCACCGCUCUGAUACUUGCUCCCGUCAUAACCGCCGUAGGGUUUCGGCUUCUCCUGCCCAUACCCAUACCCAUACGACGAUUCGUCCUCUCUCUUAGGUUUCCCAUACCCAGAUCCAUGCCCGUACCCCGCCUCCUCGCUCGGCCUACCACCGUAGCCAUACUCGGGCUUCGGCUGGGGACGACCGCCACCGCCGUAGCCGUAAUCGCCGCCUCCUCCUUCCUCCUCCUGCUGGGGGCGGAAUCCGUAGGCGGGUUGGGGCUUGGGGCGGGGGCGGCCGUAGCGGUCGUCCUCGUCGCCGCCGCCGUAGGCGGAGGGGACGGAGCCGGAGGAGUAGUGGGGCCUCUCGUAGUCGACGGAGGAGGAGGAGGACGUCGAGAGAGGGUAGCAGGAUUCGUCGGAGGGGGGGAGGGGGCGGCCGUAGGUGAGGGCGAGGUCGUAGCCGCCGCCGUAGGGGGUGGGGUCGUACUCGUCGAAGUCGUCGACGUCGUCGACAUCGCGGUCGCGGGCGCCUCCUCCGCUCCAAAAGGACGCCAUUGUUGGACCACUCGAGCUCUCUUUCUCGGGGAAGAAGAAGAAGGCGGAGAUCUCAGAUCUACGAUAGAAGAGGAAGAAGAAGAUGAAGAAGAGAAAGGGUCGCGAAAAUCGCCGACAUAUAUGGCGAUCGCACUAAGCACGGAUCUGAUGCUUCGUGUAUCACGUGAGUCGCACGUGUUGUGAAUUCCCAGCCCUAUGUAAAUUCGGCGCCGAUAUGGCCGUAAACUCGGCACUGGGAGAUGUUACAGCACCCCGAUGCCUUAAAAUCGGCAACUCGCUGUGUUUCGCCACCGACUUUCGAUGAUUGCCAUUGUCAAGGAACUUCGGCAAUUGGUCUCAGCAGCGUUUCACCAUGGCUUUAUCCCGGCAAAGCUAGUUUACUAGAAAAUUGUGUUUGGACUUUGGUCAAGUCUUAUACUUCAGUACUGUACUGUUUUUUAUCAACUUUUCAGCAGAGAAAAAAUUAUAAUUCAUCAAAUAUUAAAUUGAAGUGUAAAAUAUGAUGGAAGUGGAUAGACGUGCAAUGUAAGUAGCUUAAUUUUUGAAGCCUCCAUCUCCUCGCUUCUCUGUUAGUUCUCUGCAAGUUUUUCGCCCAUCCAAUGUAGUCCUCUUUGCGUUGAAGGAUGAAAUAAGACCCAAUUUGGGCUUUUAGUAGGUUCAUCUUUGACAACCUCGCACCGUCCAAAAUGUUAUGACUAUGAGGGCAUUGCAUAAAAAUUAUUAUAUUUUUUUUCUAACAUCCGAACAAAUUAUUGUACAAUUUCAUUUGUCCUUGCACACAGUGGUGCAGUGUUCGACCAUAGAUUUGCUAAAUCCUUUUCUUAAAGAAAAAAAAAAAAAAGCUUCUCAAUCCAUUUUCUUUGUUGCCAUGAAUCGAUUUAGUUACACAGUCAAAACAGAAUUUGUGACCGUGACCCGAUAAGGGGCCGACCCCAAGCAGAUAAGGCCCAAGCCCAGUCCAAGCCUGGCCCAUUUGGUUCCCCAGAAAAUCCAACUACACUAGAAUAUGUCCUGUGACUCUGUGAGAUGACACAUUAACACAAGCCUUCAAUAAAACUACCGUUCCUGUGCCAUUUACCAAGCAAAUUAAUAUGGAUUCUUUCUUAUUCGUCUAUGCAAUCCUAUAUUUUUUCCGUGAAUACAGCGCCAGGUAAUUUAUAAGCAAUUGCUUUCCUUAUAAGCAAUUGCCCCUUACAAUAAAGUUGCUUGCAUUAUACAGAUCAGCACCUCGUCGGUGUUAGAUCGUUGGCGCUAAUUAUUAAUCUCCAAAACUCGAGUUGCUAAAAAUACGCAACCAAUUCACUUGAAGUGUAUAGAUAUACUAGGUCUCGAUUGUGACUCGACUCAACUAGUCUCACGCCACUUCGAAUAUAAUCUGGUCCAAUCCAGCAUCAUGCUAUUUCGAACAUAACUAAGCCCAAUCUAAUAUUUUCCCACAGAAUAGGAUGCUGGACCCUUUAAGCCAACAAUCGAAGCAUAAAUUAACAGUCCAAUCAUAUAACGAUAUAUUAAACUAGUAGUACGAUUUCACUGGUACUUUAAUAAUUUCAAAUUAAAAAGAUAACAAAGAAUAACAUAGAUAGUGCAAAAUAUUCAAUUGGCCCGAAAGAAAUUAUUGCACUAGCUAAUAUGUAACCCAAUGAGACGAAUGAAUGCUUUAUUUUUUUUUCACAAAUUAUCCAUACCUAAUAACCAUUUCAGUUAGUACCAAGUAAGGCUAAUUAAUGAAAACCAUUAUUCGGAUUUUUUUUUUUAGUGGGUACUACAUGGCCACAACAGAGUUAGGUAAUGUACAUACCAAUAACAAUUUUCACAUAAUCUAACGAAUCAAAUGAUUCCUAUAACAGAUUCAAACAUUCUUUCAUGGAUUCAAGGAAACCAAUGAGUAUGUACACAUGUAAUGGGGCCCAUCAAUUAACUAAGAUGGUCUCAUGAGACUAUAUAGUAUCUAGCAUAGUCUAGUGAUCAUAAGAUGAGGGAAAAGCUCUUCUAACUACCAAAAUGGCCCACAGUGGUUGCUUAGGAUUUGAGACAUGUUGUCGACAUGAGCCCCGAGUUUUCGGUGUUCUAGCAUUUUUCCGGUCCCUCUCGAUGGCUUCAGGGCAUCAGCUUCAAUGAUUUUGUCGACGAUGAGGACAACGCGAAACAUUUCCAAUGUGGGCUCCGAGCUAGUCGGUGUCGAUUAACCGGUUCGAGCUGGCCCGGAUUUUUCGGUUGGGCUCAGAUUUCAGCUUGCGUUUGGGCUCGGCCUUGGUGCUUGUUAAGACAAGGAAAGAUACAAGAAAAGGAGAAGGGGUUUUAGAAACAAAAGGGGGUAACGAACAACGAUUGUUACCGACUCAAGAUUCACUAGUUCAACCAGUUCGGUACUAACACUCAAGGACCGGUUCAUGGCCCGACUCAUUUGACAGAGCUGGUUCAACCGGUUUAAGCAAAUAUAAGAAAGCCAAAUUCACUAGUUCAACCAAUUCGGUACUAACACUCCAGGACCGGUUCAUGGUUCGACUCAUCUGACAGAGUUGGUUCAACCGGUUUAAGCAAAUACAAGAAAGCCAAAUUCACUGGUUCAACCAGUUCGGUACAAACACUCAAGGAUCGGUUCAUGGCCCAACUCGUCUGACAGAGCUGGUUCAACCGGUUUAAGAAAAUACAAGAAAGCCAAUAUCUCUCUCUCUCUCUCUCUCUCUCUAUAUAUAUAUAUGUAUAUAUAUAUAUAUAUAACCAAAGAAGCUGUUUGAAAAAUGUAAACCAAACCUUCAUAUUAUAAUCUUUGGUUUUUCUAAUUUUUAUUAAUGUAGAAUCUUUCGUUGAGUAGGGUCGAAGAUGAAAAAUAACCAAGCAAUUAUGGUGAUGAAAUUGUUCAAUGUCUUAGCCAAUUUUCUGUCAAAGUGGACUCUACAUCAUCAUUCCAAGAUUUAAGUCUUCGAAGAAUCUACCUACUAUAUUUUGGUCGGCUGCCUAAUCUGCAUAAUUUUUUGCAGAUUUCUACAAAACAUAUAUAUAUAAUAUAAAAUAUAUGGCUAAAAUAUAGAAUUUUUUUUUAUAAAUAUUAACUUUUUCACUUUCUCUUUCCGACUUUCAAAAAUCUAUAUUUUUCCUCCUUAAAAUUUCAAAAAUAUCUGCAGGGGGUAAGACGUUAAUGGAAAGGGUAAAAUAACCAAAAUAUCUUUAUUUUUUUUUAUAAAAAAAUUUUUAAUAUAUUUUUGUCAUUUUGAAGGGUAUUUUUUUUAUAAUUAUAAAAAAUUAAAGGAAAAAUAAUGGAACUGACGGAGGAGGGCUAAAUUCAAGAAUUUGAAAUAUUGAUGUAGUAAAAUAUAAAUUUUCGAAAGUUAGGAAGGAAAAGUUUUUUUUUUUUUGAGAGAUAGAUAGCACGCUACCCGCUUUGUUUAUUUCAUUUAGAAAUAAACUUAGCUGAAAAUGUGAAUCAACUAGGAUUCGAACUUAGGUCUCGCGUACCAACCACCAAGCCCUUUGUCACUUACCAAAAAUAUCUAUAUAUAUAGUUGAACUAGAAUACUAUCAAUAGCAAACGGGCUCCGUUGCCACCCAUUUGUUUUCGGUGAUGGAGCCUCCAAAUCGAUGAUCGGCACAGUUGAACAUGAUCUAUACCACUUGAAGUAUUUAGAAAUCAAAUUUCAAAUUUUUUCGACAUCAUUUGCCUAAUGAUCAAAGGGUUUCAAAAUUUGUAAUUUUAAUAGUCGAUAUGAGGUGUUUUCUCGUUUAACGGCGUAAAAAUAUCCAAAUCAAUUGAAUUUUUGUUAGAAAAUUCUUUAAACUAUUUAAAACAAGGUUUAUACUCUUGAUCUUGAUUACAAGACUCCUAUCAUCAUUUUUAAAGAAUAUUCAUUUUCAGCCGUUCAUUUUUGUGUCCACUUGAUGGAUAAGAGAACAAUAUCGAAAAUGUAUGAAAUUUGAUUUUUAAACACUUCAAGUAGUAUAGAUUAUGUUCAAUUAUACCGAUCGUCGAUUUAGAGCCUCCAUCAUCAAAAACAAAUGGGUGACAGCGAAACUCGUUUGCUAUCGAUAGUAUUCUAGCUCAACUAUCUCUCUCAUUCUAUAUAUAUAUAGAGAGAGAGAGAGAGAAAGAGUAGGGCUAUUCUGCUAUUAGGAGUAUAGCAGUCCUUGUGGUCCUAACUUUCUAACUACCCAUCAUGUUCGAUGGGUGGUUAGAAUGAAAGAGGGAGGAAAUAUUGCAGAGAAAUUGGGUGUUUCAAUUUUUCUUCUUCUUGAAUUUCUCUUCAAUAUCUCUUACCUCUCUUAUUCUAACCACCCAUCAAACUUGAUGGGUGAUUAAAAAGUUAGGAGCAUAACGGCUGCUGUGCUUCUAAUAGCACAGUAAUCCGGUUUUAUAUAUAUAUAUAUGUAGAGUCUGGCUACUAUACUCUUAUGAGUACGAUCGCAUUAAUACUCAUAAGUUGUUUUCGAUAAUAGAGUUUCCGAAUCAACAAUUCAGGCCGUUAAACAUUAUCUAGAGUAUUUAAAAUAUAUAUAUAUAUAUAUAUAUAGAGAGAGAGAGAGAGAGAGAGAGAGAGAGAGAGAGAGAGAGUCCGGCUAUGGUGCUUGUAAAAGCACCAAGCACUUGGUGCUUGUGAAUUUUUUACCGUUAGAAUUAAUCUUUUAAUCAUUUUCACCGUUAGAUUAUACUAUCCAAGCCAACUGACCACUUAACCUAGGGAGCUACAAUCAUCCUAACGCACAUCCUUAAUCCAAGGGCCAAAAACUUUACAAGCACCUAUGACUUGGUACUGUUAAAAGUAUAGAGCUCAAUUCAUAUAUAUAUAUAAUAUAUAGAUAUAUAUAUAUAAUUAUAUAUAUUAUAUAUAUAUAUAUAUAUAUAUAUACUGGAAUGCUAUCAAUAGCACGAAGCACUUGGUGCUAUCAAGUUUUCGCCCUUGAAUGAAGAAAUGUACGGUUAGGAUAAUGUGACCUCCUAGGGUUGAGUAAGUUGUUGGUUGAAUAGUAUAAUCUAAUGGUGAAAAUAGUCAAAAGUAAAUCUAACGGUAGAAACUUGGUAGGCAUCAAGUGCUGAUUGCUAUCGAUAGUAUCCAGUCAGACUAUAUAUAUAUAUAUAUAUAUAGAUGGGGCUGGUAUGCUUUCGUAAGCACGGAGGCCUCCGUCUUCCACUUUGUUUACGAUGUUCGACUUUCCGAAUCGACGGAUCAGCUCGCGUUAGAGUUGAUCUUAGAGUAUUAAGUACCAAGAAAUUAAUUUUGCGAUUUUCGAUAUAGGUUGCCUCGUGAUCGAAGGGGCUCAAAAUCAAUAAUUUUAACGGCCGUGGUGAGCCGUUGCAAGUUUAACGGUGUAGAAAUAUCCAAAUCACGUGAAACUUUGAUAGAAAAUUCUUUAUACCAUUAAAACAAGAUCAAUAACUUUGAUCUAAAAUUUUAAUGUCAUAUCAUCAUAUUUUGUGAGAUUUUUUAUUUUCACCGUUGUUUUGAGCCACUUCGACUCACAGGCAAAUGAUAUCAAAAAAUCGCAAAUUAUUUUCUAGAUACUUCAAAUACUCUAGAUCAAGUCUAACGGAGCCGAUCGUCGAUUUGAAAGUCCAACAUCGAAAACAAAGUGGAAGCACGAAGCGCAUCCGUGCUUCCGAACACACCAGAACACUUAUAUAUAUAUAUUAUAUAUAUAUAUAUAUAUAUAUAUAUAUAUAUAUAUAUAUAUUAUAUAUAUAUAUAUAUAUAUAAUAUAUAUAUAUAUAUAAUAAUAUAUUAGGGCUACUGUGCUAUUAGGAGCACAGCAGCCUUUGUGGUUCUAAGUUCUAAACACGCCCAUCAAAUUUGAUGGUGGUUAGGUGAAUGGGAGAAGAGAAAUUGGAGAGAAAUUCAAGAGAAGAGAAAUUGAGAAACAAAUUUCUCUCUAAUUAACUCUUCUCCCUUUCACCUAACCCCCAUCAAUUUGAUGGACGAUUAAGAACUUAGGAGCACAAGGACUGUUGUGCUCCUAAUAGCACAAUAGCCCUACUCUCUCUCUCUCUCUCCUCUCUCUCUCUCCUCUCUCUCUCUCUCUCUCUCUCUCUCUCUAUAUAUAUAUAAUAUAUAUAUAUAUAUAUAUAUAUAUAUAUAUAUAUAUAUAUAUAUAAUGUACAGGCUGGUAUACAUCGUAGCACAGGGCUCGGGCUACAACUUGUUUUCGAUAGUGAUUGUGGUCAAAAUCGACGAUCGGCUCCAUUAAUUAGACUUGAUUACACUAUUAAAAGUUUUGGAAAUUAAUUUAUAAUUUUUUGACAUCAUUUGGUAGUGAUCAAAAAGGUUUUAAAAUUGACAAUUUUAAUGGUAGAGUGUGAUGUUUUGUAAUUUAACGGUGUAAAACAAUCCAAAUAUGAAAAGAUCUUUAUAGAAAAUUAUUUUCACUAUUUAGAGUAAGAUCAGUACCUCUGAUCUUAAAUUUAAGUCUUUUAUCAUCAUUUUUUAUGAGAUUUUUAUUUUCAGCCGUUAAUUUUUAGACUACUCGUUUGAUAGGUAAAUGAUGCCGAAAAAUUAUAAAAUUUAGUUUGCAAAUACUUUCAAUAGUGUAGAUCAAGUCUAGCGGAGCCGAUCGUCGAUUUGGAAGCCACAUCAUUGAAGAUAACUUGGUAGCACGGAGACCUCCGUGCUACCGAUAGUAUACCAGCCUAUCUCUAUAUAUAUAUAUAUAGAGUGAGGCUACUAUGCUUCUAGAAGUAUGGAGCCUUCCGUGCUUCCAUACCGUUUUCGAUGUUGCGACUUUCGAAUCGUCGAUCGGCUCCGUUAAACUUGAUCUAGAGUAUUUGAAGUAUUUAGAAAAUAAAUUUUAUGAUUGUUCGAUAUCAUUUGCCUAGUGAUCGAAGAGGCUCAAAAUCAAUAAUUUUAAUAGCCGUAGUGAGCUGCUUACAAGUUUAACGGUAUAGAAAUAUUCAAAUCACGUGAAAUUUUGAUAGAAAAUUCUUUAUACUAUAUAAAACAAGAUCAAUAAUUUUGAUUUAAAAUUUUAAUGUUAUAUUAUCACGUUUUGUAAGAUUUUUAUUUUCAGCCGUUGAUUUUGAACCCCUUCGUUCACUAGGCAAAUAAUAUCGAAAAAUCGCAAACUUAUUUUCUAGGUACUUCAAAUACUUUAGAUCAAGUUUAACGGAGCCGAUCGACGAUUCAAAAGUCGCAACAUCGAAAACAACCUGGAAGCACGGAAGGCUCCGUACUUCCAGAAGCAUAGUAGCCUCACUCUAUAUAUACACACACACUAGUUGAGCGUACGUGCAAACUGCAAAUGCACGUAAUAAUUAUUUUAAUUUAUUUUAAAUCAAUAAAAAUUUAUAAAUCAUAUUUAUUCAAAAAUUUAGAAUAAAAUAUUUUGUAAAUUUAUAUGUUAUAUUUUAUUAGAAAAUAUUUACAAUAUCAAAUUUAAAUUUUAAUAUAAAAUAGAUAGAUAGAUUUGAUAUCAAAAAUCAAAGAUUUAAUUUAAUUCAUGAUUUAAACUCAAAUUUAAAUUUUAAUGUAAAUAGAUGGAUAGAAGUGCUAUUUUUUAACAGAUUAAUUAUAAUCAUUCAUUUUUAUUUUAAAUAUUUUUAACUAAUUGAUCAUAAUCAUUCGUAAAAUUGAAUUUAUAGAUGGGUAUAAAUAUGUUUUUUUACAAAUUGGUAAUAACCGUUCGUUCUUAUUUGAGAUAAUUUUUUACAAAGUGAUUAUAAAUUUGUUCAUCAUAUUAAUUCAAAAAUAUGAUUUACAAAUUUAUCAACCAAUCUAUCUUUUAAAUUAUUUCCGUUGUAAUAUGUUGAUAGUCCCAAAAUUUAAAAUUUUAAAUUAAUUUUAAAUUUUGAAUUGAAAUAUAGAUUUAUAGUAGAUAUUCUCACAAAAAUUUGGAUAAGCAUGAAUUUUUUUCUAUUUUCAAGAUAAAAAAAAUAAACAAAUUUCGAAUUAAAAUAUAGAUUCACGGUAAAUAUCUUUCGGUUGGCAAAAUUUUGGAUAAGUAUAUUUUUUUUUCUAUUUUAGAGAUAAAGAGAAAUUAAAAGUUUGUUUCAUUACGUUAUUUAUUUUACGUAAGGAAAGAGAAAUCAAUUUUUUUUUCCGUUAAAAAAUAGUUCUGUCGACAAACAGAAAUUUGAAAUAUAUAUAUAGAGUCCAGCUAUGCUGCUUGUAAAAGUACCAAGCAUUUGGUGCUUGUAAGUUUUUUACCGUUAGAUCUACUCCUCGAAUCAUUUUCAACCAUUAGAUUAUAUUAUUCAACCAACCAUCCAUUCAAUCCUAGGGGGCCCACAUCAUCCUAACCGCAUAUCUUUUAAUCCAAUGGCUAAAAAUCUAUAAGCACCAAUAACUUAGUACUUUUAAAAGCAUAGGAGCUCAAUUAUAGUUUAUUAUAUAUAUAUAUAUUAUAUAUAUAUAUUAUAUUAUAUUAUAUCUAUAAUAUUUAUAUACAGUUAUAUAUAUAUGUUUAGUUUAUGUUAUACUAUUCAAUAGUCUCUGUCUAUUGAUUUUCGAGUUGGUGAUAAGGAGAUGUGCGGUAGGUGAUAGUGUCCCCAAGGUUGAGUGGGUGGUUGAUUUAAUAGUAUAACUACGGGGGUGGAAAUGUCAAAUGAUAUAUCUAAGGUAAGAAAAUCAAUAAGUAACAAAGGUUGUCUAUCGAAGUUAUAGUAGCGCGACUUUAUAUAUCAUAUAUAUAUUAUAUAGACGUCCGGUAUCCGGUAGCUUGUAAAAGUAUCAAGCACUUUGAUGCUUAGUAAAUUUUUUACGCUGUCAAUCUUGCCUUUGAUCAUUUUUACCCGUUAGAUUAUACUAUUUCAACCAACAACCACUUCAACAAUGCUAGGGCCACAUCAUCCUAACUGCACAUUUUAAUCCAAGGCGUGAAAACUCGUCACAGACACAUGACUGCAUUUUAAAAGCAUGAGCUGCAAUUAUAUUCAUUAUAUAUAUAUAUUAUAUAUAUAUAUAUUACUUAUAUAAUAUUAUAUAUAUAUUAUAUAAUGCGACUGCUGUGUUCAAGGCACGGAGAGUCUUGCGUGCUCCUGAGCCGUUUUCGAUGAUAGAAUUUUCAAAUCGACGAUCGGCUCCGUUAGACUUGAUCUAGCGUUUUGAGUUCUAGAAAUAUUUUUGCGAUUUUUCGAUAUCAUUUACCUAGGAAUCGAAAGGAUUAAAAUAAUAAUUUUUAACGUGUGAAUAAAUAUUUAUAAAAGUGAUGAAUAUAGCACUAAAUUUUUGAUCAGAAAUAUUGAUUUAUUAUAUGAUAGUAUAAAAAUUUUGUACAAAUUUUAUCUGAUUUGAAUACUUUCUACAACAUUAAAUUUGAAAACCGGCAGAUAUCAACCAUUAAAAUUAUUGAUUUGAUCAUUUCGAUCAUGAGGUAAAUGAUAUCAAAAAAUCGCAAAAAUUAUUUUCUAAAAACUUUAAUACGCUAGAUCAAUCUAAGGAGGGCCGAUCGUCAAUUCAGAAAUUCCAUUAUCGAAAUGGCUCAGGAGCACGGAGGCUCCGUGGAGGCACGAGCACCCUCUAUAUAUAUAUAUAUAUAUAUAUUAUAUAUAUAUAUAUAUUUUAUAUAAAUUGAGAACAUUAACCAAAGGGCCACGUAAUGUAUGGAAGUGGUAACAAGAAGCAACAGUUAAAUAUAUUACUAUUUAUGAGUAAGGUCGUUGUGUGUAUUAGGAGCAGGUGUUAGGAUUUCCAUAUAUUAUUUGACCAAUCUAAUCAUAUUUAAUUUUAGGAUUUGAGUAGUGAUAAAGUCAAUCUAACAGAUUUAGAACUACUUGAUAUGGUAUAUUUUAUCCCUAUCCCAUCUACUUUAAAUUUAAAUAGAAUCCUAAUCAGACUUUGAUGGGAAGUCGAUUUGGGCUCUAUAUAAAGGGGUAUUGGUCCUGCCACCUUUUCAUAAACAUUCUGGUGAAGAAUUACCAUCGGUUCCACACCAUACAGCAGAGUGCCUAAGAUAGGAGGAGAAACCAAAUCACCCAAGUUCGGUUCGUGACUUUCAGAUCAUAGCCGGACUUCACACUUCCGCAAGAUUGAUCAAGAAUUUAUUCUCUAUGGUGCUCUGUGAGUUAUCUUAUAAUUUUGUUUUGAUCAUGAAUUUUGGUAUGUAUUUAUUUUCGGUUUUGUUUUACAUACCUAUAAAGUCUAUCACACGGAGCCCUCCUUGUCCUAAGCCAUUUUUGAUGAUGGAGUUUUCGAAUCGACGAUUGGCUUCGUCAGACUUAAUCUAGCAUAUUUGAAAUAUCUAGAAAAUAAAUUUUGCGAUUUUUCGAUAUCAUUUACCUAGCAAGCAAAAGGGUUCAAAAUCAAUAAUUUUUCAUGAUUGAUGUAUACCAUUUGCAAGUUUAACGGUGUAGAAGUAUUCAAACCAGAUAAAAUUUUGAUAGAAAAUUUUUUAUACUAUUUAUAGCAAGAUCAAUAUCUCUGAUCGAAAAUUUUAUUGCUAUAUCACCACUUUUUUUGAGAUUUUUAUUUUCAGCCAUUAAUUUUGAAUCCUUUCUAUCGCUAGGUAAAUGGUAUCGAAAAAUCGCAAAAUUUAUUUUCUACAUACUUCAAAUACGCUAGAUCAAUUCUAACGGAGCCGAUCGUUGAUUCGGAAGCUCCAUGAUCGAAAACGGCUUAAGAGCACGGACACGCAAGACCUGCUCCUACUUUAGAUCAAACAAUUAUAAAUGGGUAUGCCACCAAGCUGUAGCUGAAUUUGUAAGCUAUUCAAUGAGGCACAUUACUUUUACUAGAUUCAUUUUAUCUAAUCAAAUUCAGUAAGUAUAGCGGUCAAAAUUUAAUAAAAUUAUCUAUCAAUAUCAUAGUCAGCUCCGUAAAUAGUAGAUUCUAUUAAAAAAAUAAUAAGAAAAGAAGUAGAAUAAACUUGAUCAUUAUUGAUAUGUGAUUGCGGAGAUAAGAAACUAAUAAUCAAUAAUUUUCUUUUAGUCGAAGAAUUUGGUACUGAGACAAGGAUUCCACUCUUUAAAUGGUGCUUUGUUUAAUUCUAUAUCCAAAAAUAUAUGCUAUCCAAGCAAAUUUAAAUUGCACACUUUGCUACUGCUAUGCUAUAUAAAAUUCAAUUAAGUUAGUUAAAAUAACAAACAAAGACAAAGCAAAUUAAUUGAUUAAUUAUUAAUUAAGAAUUUAAUUGUUUCAUGCAAAGUCCAUCAAAGUGGACUACCUAGUCAAGAUCCGGAUAUCUAGGUCUACAAAAAUCCCUUUUAUUAGUACUAAGAAUUGCACCCAAAAAAAAAUGAAUUAUGUUGGGGUAAUUAAUAAUACCAUGUGUGGGGGCCACCCACCACUGUUCCAUUCCCAGAAACAAUGCUUGGAUUUAUGCUUAUCCUGAGUAAAUACUCCUCCCUCAUUGAAGUGGAGAACCCUCAUUUUAUGGAUCAUAGCUUCGUUUAAAAGCUAUUUUAUUAAUUCUCCUGAUAGGGAAAAAGCAUCAUCUCAAAAAGAUCUCUUUCCUUAACAAAGCUAAGUAGGAACAUUUAGAAUCUAAUGAGUAUAAUUAUUCAUCUUAAAAGGCCUUAGAAGCAGCCUUUUCUUUUAGCCUUUUGCCUUUUUUUUUUUUUUGCCACCCUUUAACAGGUGGUGAUAAUUAAUUAAACUUUAGAAUUUUUGCAUAUAGACCCCUCCCAACAUAAGUAUAGACAGAGUACAAUCCUCACCAGCUCAUGUACCCUUUCACUAAACACUCCAUUAUAAACUACUAAAAUUAAAAUCACAACAAUAAGAAGGCAAUACGACCAUUCACGCCCCCUCUUUAAGUUUUACCUAAAAUACCUCCCAAUGCUUGUAAACAAGUAAGCUGUACACCACCAAUAGUAGCAUCUUUGCGAUUAUAUAUACAUAUACAUAGAAUUGAACUGAAAUACUGUUAAUAGUAUUUGGCUCUUUUGCUGUCGAGUUUUUAACUCUUAAAUGAAAAAUUAUAAGGUUAGAAUGAUAGUUGUGCCCUAGGGUUUAAUAGUGGUCCCCCUAGAAUUGAGUAAGGGAUUGGUUGAAUAGUUUGAUCUAAAAGGUGAAAUUAAUUAAAAUGUAAAUCUAAAUGCUAAAGGCAUUCUAACUCAAUUCCAUAUAUUAUAUAUAUAUAUAUAUAUAUAGAACUAGUUUAAUAUACUAUUAAUAACACCAAAGACAUAAAUUUAAUGGCGAAAACUUGAUAGCACUAGACACUUGAUGUUAUUGAUAGUAUAGUAACUGGACUAUAUAUAUAUAUAUAUAUAUAGAGAGAGAGAGAGAGAGAGAGAGAGAGAGAGUUGAGCUUGAAUACUCCCAUAAGCACCAAGGGAGUGGUGCUUUCGAGUUUUUAGCCAUUGGAUGGAGAGAUGUGGGGUUGAGAUGAUGGCGGUAGGUGGUGGUAGAUUGAAUAGUAUUUGAUCCAUCGACUAUUAGUAAUCAAGAAGUAAAUUCAAGGGCUAGAAAUCUAGAAGCACCAAGGGUUUGGUGCUUCUAAAGUAUUCUAGCUCAAUUAUAUAUAUAUAUAUAUAGAGAGAGAGAGAGAGAGAGAGAGAAGCUACUCAUAAGUUUUCAACCAUUGGAUGAUAGGAUGUGUGGUUAGGAUGAUAGUAGUUCCCAACUAAAAUGAUAAUGGUCUCCUAAGAUUGAGUGGGUGGUUGGUCGAAAAGUAUGAUCUAAUAUGUAAAAUAAUUAAAAGGGUAAAUCUAAUUAUCGAAAACUUAUGAAUAUAAAAAGUUCUAUAUUCCUAAAAAUAUAGUAGUUGAACUUUCUCUCUCUCUAUAUAUUUAUAUAUAUAUUUAUUGGCAUCAGAAAAAUAACACUAUGUGAGCAAAGAACGGCAAGGAGACAAAAGGUGACACGUGGUAUACCAGAAGUCGAGAAGAAUAACACUUAAAUAGAAGAGUGGUUUAGGCGAGAGCGGUUAGAGACGUGGUGAAAGAAUUCCAUGACCAGCAAAGGAUAAGCCGAAUCAUAACCCGAAAUAAUAGGAACGUGGUCGAAGAAACCUCCAUAAUAAGAUUCAUCCAAUAAUUGCAGGCGGGAGAAAAUAUUGCUAUAAAUAGAAAAAAAAAAUUGCUUGUGAGAAGGGUCCUUCACACAGCAAGAGAUCGUAACAAAUUUUAAUUUUUUUUUUUUCAGCAUUUAUGAUUUUCUAGGGAUAGUUCACUGAUUUUUUUCUCCUAUGUCUUUGUUUAAGAGCUUAAUUAAGAGCACAAUUAAGAGUUUAAUUAAGAGUUUUUAUAGGAGUAGAUUUAAUUCUUGCAACAGUUUUUGUAAUUUUGUUUUCUCGAUCAAUAUAAAUAACUCGAUUUAUUCAGCCGAGCUUAUUUUUUGAUCUAUUUGUGAAUAUUUGCGGAGAAACUCGGUUGAGCCAAUCCCUCCUCAACCGAGUCGCUUGAAUUGCUAAUGGCGCAUCCGAAGGUCAUUUUAGGAGUCAACUCACAUUCUGAAGAAGAACCUGACUUUGCCGGCACUUUAAUCCGAUCAGCGUCGCACCGUAUUCAAUUUCUAACCCAACAAUAUUAAAAUAUAACUUUGGUUUAAGAAAAUAACAUUUCAUGCAUGUAUCCGGGGGACAUCGAAGCAAAUAACCGAUUUUCCAAAGGCACAAUCGCAAACUCACACUUUGAAUAGUUCAUACCCCAAUAAAAAUGUUCAAAGGGGUAUAGAUGCACCCCAAAAAACAAAAAAGUUUAAACUUUUCCAGCUAAUGAAGGGCAUUUAUUUAAAAAAGUUUGAUCCACACCCAUGUGGGUCAAGUUUUUAAUUAAUUACGUGGGGGUAAGUUUUUUUCCCUUUAUUUUUUUCCUGCCCUUUUUGCGGUGUACGAGAUUUUAGCAGUUGAUGAUGGCGCGAGUGCACGCGGUGGGGAAAUCGAUUCCUCCCCUUUCUCCCUAUGCGAGACCCCGUUAAAUUAUUCCCCCUUGUGCUCCUCACCCUUCUUUUUUUUUUUCUUUUUUUUUUUUUUUUUUGUGGACAGUGAUGAUUAAAUUAUUUACUGGUUUAUGAUAAUUUUAAUUUUAAUUUUAAUUUUAAUUUUAAUUUCAUAGAUCUUAUAUUUUGAAUGAUAAUAAAAUUAUCCCAAUGUCGCUUGAGUUAGAAGAACAUGCGAAAAAUUAUCUAUUACCUUAAGUCAUGAACACAAUAGAUUUAGUUUAUGACAACAUAACAAAACAUUCUUACUAGUAGAGAUUCUCAAAUAGCAAAUUGUAGGAAAAUCCUGAAAUAUUACGAAUUGGAUAAUGACUUGGUUUUAAGUUUACAAUUUUGUUUAUUGUUUUCUUAUUCAGGCACGACGUUCGAAGCGCUUGAAAAACUGUGCGUAUCCCUAAUAAUUUAGUUUCCCCCUUUUUCGUUGGUAUUGUUAACAAACUAUAUUUUGAUUAAUUUAUACUAAUUUCUUAAAAGUGAGGGUUAGGCACUGACGCGUCCCCAUCUCCCGUCCGAGCCCAAACCCACCACUCCCACCCACCCACCCCGGGUUUUCAAUCAACGCUUUCCUUGUCCUCUUCCCCGGCCCCUCCUUUUUUGUUUUGUUUUUUUUUUUUUUUAAUUUGGUGAUCGGCAAAUUUUUUUUUUUUUUUUUUUUGGUAAAUACGAUCGUGUUUUAAUUUUGAAAUAAUUAUAAAACCAGAAAACGAAAGAAAGAGGCUCGGUUCAGACUCUAUACGAAUGUUAAUCUGAUCUGAUCUAAUACUAAUCUAAUGUAACGGACUGAAAAAAGCAAAAGCGCUAGCGCACGAGCUAAGAUACCGUCCACUAUUCGCUCUCUCUCUCUCUCUGUCUCUCUCUCUCUCUCUCUCCAUCCCCACAACGCAUUGAUAGAUCCUAUUCCUUUCUCCCACCAGAGUUCCGAGUGAUUCAAAAUCCCCGCACAAGCGUGCAGGGAUAAAAGAGGGAUGAGAGAUACCUAGCAACAAGGGAAAGUCCAAAUAAAGCUCGAGUUGUGGGUGUGUGAGGUGAGGAGAGAGAGAGAGAGAGAGAGAGAGAGAGAGCGCAUGCGUGGGAGAGUGGGAGGGAGGGGGGUAGGGGAAAGAAGCAGCUGCUCCUCGCGCGCGACUCUCGAAGCGCUCGCAUAAGCCGUUUUGCCGGUCGACUGCUUACCCUCCGCUACACAAAACAAAACCAAAACACAUGCUCCUCGAUCCCCUCAACCCCUCCUCCUCCUACUACUACUACUACUACUACUCGUCACUACUAACACUCAUAAUAAUAACUACCACUACUGCUGCUACUCCUUGUACCUCUACCACCACUGCUGCAUCUCCUCCUGCUGCUCUCUAUUUUUUCUCUCCUUCCUGUUAAUUAUUAUUAGCUCUUCUCAUUAUAAAGGAGCUAAUUAUUAUUAAUUAAGACUCUCUGCUUUGCUUUGCUUUGCUUGGCUGGGCCUUGGUUGGCUUGGCUUUGUGAAAGAAAUUAAUUAAGAAGAAGAAGAAGAAGGAAGGGAAUUGUAUAGGGAGGGAGGUAGAGAAGGAGGGGAUCAGAAGAGAUGAUUACGGUGUCGGAUUUUUACCACGUGAUGACGGCGGUGGUGCCGCUGUACGUGGCGAUGAUACUGGCGUACGGGUCGGUGAAGUGGUGGAAGAUAUUCUCGCCGGACCAGUGCUCGGGGAUAAACCGGUUCGUGGCGCUGUUCGCAGUGCCGCUGCUGUCGUUCCACUUCAUCUCGACGAACAACCCGUACACGAUGAACGUGAAGUUCAUCGCGGCGGACACGCUGCAGAAGCUGAUGGUGCUGGCGGCGCUGACGGCGUGGAGCCACCUGAGCCGGCGGGGGUGCCUGGAGUGGACCAUCACGCUCUUCUCCCUCUCCACCCUGCCCAACACGCUCGUCAUGGGCAUCCCGCUCCUCAAGGGCAUGUACGGGGACUUCUCCGGGAGCCUCAUGGUGCAGAUCGUCGUGCUGCAGUGCAUCAUCUGGUACACGCUCAUGCUCUUCAUGUUCGAGUUCCGCGGCGCGCGCCUGCUCAUCACCGAGCAGUUCCCGGACACCGCCGGAUCCAUCGCCUCCAUCGUCGUCGACUCCGACGUCGUCUCGCUCGACGGCCGCCGCGACGCCAUCGAGACCGAGGCCGCAGAUCAAGGAGACGGCAAAUUCAACGUCACAGUGCGCUCGCUCCAACGCUCGCGCUCCGACAUUACUCCCGCCGCUCCAUGGGCUUCUCCAGCAACCCCGGCACCCUCCAACCUGCAACGCGAACGCCGAGAUCCUUACUCGCUCCAGUCCUCGCGCUAACCCCACCGCCCGCGCGGUCUCCAGCUUCAACCACCGCUUCUACUCAUGGUCGGCCGCAGCUCCAAACUUCGGCGCCGCCAGACGCCUACCCGUGGCCGGGGCGGCGGGCGCCUCCACCCCGCGCUCAACUGAGGACGACGGCCCGCCGCCGGCGCAGCCAGUGUCGCGGACGCACGACACGUACUCGGCGCCCAACCCCAACGCGUGUUCCUCGCACCGCCGGAAGCGCGCCGAGCGCGCCGCGCGCCGGCAGCCGAGACGGGCUCGGCGCGCGGCGCGGGCGGCGCCGGUGGGGUGAAGAGGCGAACGGGCUGCGACGGAGGACCGGGGGACGAAGACCUCCCCUUUGUGUGGAGCUCCAGCGCCUCCCGCCGUCUCCCGACAUCUUGGAAACAAUCCCUAUUACGGCAUCGCCGUCGCCGCCGCCGCGAACGACCCCGCCGCAGUCAAAGAAGUCAGGCUCGCCGUCUCGCCCGGCAAAAGUAAUUCACGCACAUUAUUAUAUAAUAAAAUUAGAUUAAUUAAUUAAUAAUUAAUUAGAUGUGUGUGUGUGUGUGUGUCUCUCUCUCUCUCUCUCUCUCUGUAUUAUUAUUAUUGAUUUCUUUUUCUUUUUCGUUUUCUUUUUUUUAAUUUAAAAAAAAAACCAUUAUUAUUAUUUAUUUAUUUAUUUUUGUUGGCGAGAAAAUUGACAGUGGAUCGACGGAAGGAGGGGGAGGAGUACGUGGAGAGGGACGACUUCAGCUUCGGGAACAGGGGGAUGAUGGAGAGGGACGAGGGCGGCGGCGGGGACGAGAAGACGCACGACGCGACGGCGGGGAAGGGCGGGGGGCUGCACGGGGCGACGGCGAUGCCGCCGACGAGCGUCAUGACGCGGCUGAUCCUGAUCAUGGUCUGGCGCAAGCUCAUCCGCAACCCCAACACCUACUCCAGCCUCAUCGGCAUCAUCUGGGCCCUCGUCUCCUUCAGGUGAAAAGCAUUCAUUUGCAAUGGACCCUCACCACAUGCGCGGUCAAUAGUACUAAACAGUAACUCCCAAUAAAAUUAAAAUUACAAUUUUAAAUUAAAUUAAUUUAAUUUAAUGCUGCCCAAUAUUAGAUUGUACUGUACCGUUUCUUUUUCUUUUGUUUUCUCCCUCCUCCCUUUCUUUCUUUCUUUCUUUCUUUUAUUAUUAUUAUUUUUUUUUUUUUUACUGUUGUGUUGUGUUGUGUUGUGUUGUGUUGUGUUGUGUUUAACAGUGGUGGUUUGGCUAAUAAUGGUUGUUGGAAUUGCAGAUGGCAUGUUGAGAUGCCUGCCAUUGUCUCGGGCUCCAUCUCCAUACUGUCGGAUGCGGGCCUCGGAAUGGCUAUGUUCAGCCUCGGUCAGUACUUCCAUGUGCCUCUCCUCCUCCUGCUCCUCCUCAUACUCUCUUUCACUCUCUCUCUCUCACUGUUACUGACACUUCAAGUAGCAGUUAUCUACUCGUGGGGGACACUCCUCAUGUAAAUUGGAGCUCCUAUCAAAAUGUUUAAAAUAAAGUUUGAAAAUUACCUGCUGUUUUUAACAUUAAAGUUUUUCAAAAAAAAAAAAUUACAUUAGUCGAGAUUUUCUGUUUUCCAACUAAAAAGCUUAUUUUAACUUUUCACCGUCCGUAACAAAUGCUCUAAUAAUGAGACCAGUGUGGCUUUGCUUCGGCCUUUAUUUUUACUAUACAGUUCAUCUUUACUAAAAGCAUUCCACAAACAGCAAAGACGAGAGCCUUUACUCUACUGGAAAGGAGAAAAGAGAUUCUGUGGUCGCAAAAGUAAAAGCUAGGAUUUGUUAUAAACUUCCGAUUUUAAUAAAAAGGGAAACAUUUGGAAGAUUAGAAUGUUUCUUCAAAUAGAAAUAUCAGGCGGUUAGUAGUACGUUAUGUUCAGAAAAGCUGUUCUGAAAGCCGAGCUUUAUCUUUUUCUUUUUUUGGUUAAAGUUGGUCCAAUGUUCUGAGCGAGCAAUAUGCGUGCGUGUGCAGGGCUGUUCAUGGCGCUGCAGCCGCGGAUCAUAGCAUGCGGCAACCGCGUCGCGACAUUUGCCAUGGCCGUCCGGUUCCUCGCAGGCCCAGCCGUCAUGGCCGCCGCCUCCAUCGCCGUAGGCCUCCGCGGCAACCUCCUCCACGUCGCCGUCGUCCAGGUCUCACUCUCUCUGACACAAAGCGUCGAACACCAUACGUGCGCCGUCCCUGAGACGCCCCGACUAACCGCUUUCCUCUUUUUGGGUCUCUUUCUUAUUAUUAUUAUUAUUUCAAUUUUUUUUUUUUAAUUUAGGCCGCGCUCCCUCAAGGCAUUGUCCCCUUCGUCUUCGCCAAGGAGUACAACGUGCACCCCGACAUACUCAGCACUGCGUGAGUACUUUUAAAAAAGCUCGAACAUCUUUUGCAGUGUCUGGUAUCGUGUGUUUCCAUUGUAGAUUCCCUUUUGUGUGCGCGUGUGCGCAGCGCCUCUAAUGGGUCUCGUGAUGUGCUUGCAGGGUCAUUUUUGGGAUGUUGAUUGCGCUCCCCAUCACGUUGGUUUACUACAUUUUCCUUGGCCUGUAGUGUGUGCGUGUGUGUACAUCUCUUAAGUUUACUUUUUAACUCUUUUAUUAGAGCACAACAGAGGAGUCGUCGACCCACAGCAAGGCAAGGGGAGAGAGGAGGGGGAGGGGGAGGGAUUAAUUUAGGGUUUGGAAAAUGGAGUGGAUCGAGUAGCAAUUUCCCGCAGUUUGUGGAGAAUUAAGGAGGAAGAGAAUCGAUCCGGUUCGGACCUGAUCGCAGUUCAAUCGGAAGACGAUGUUGUAAAAUGAUGUGAUAUUUGAUCUUAGAGCUCUUGUUUCUUCCUUUUCCUCGAAUUCCGCUUUUCUCUUUNUUUUUUUUUUUUUUUUUUUUUUUUUUUUUUUUUGAGUCAUCAAAUGUUGCGCACGACAUGCAUCUUGUAGGAAAUUGCUCUGAAAUGUUUAUUAGUCUUAAUUAAUACUCUUUGCCCAUCAGAUGAGUAUUUACUCGUGCCGCAUAUUUAGAUUGAGAACGUAACGUUUUAUUAAAUAAAAGACAACAAAAAACGAAAAUGAAAAGAGACUACAUAAUAUAUAAAUAAUAAAAGUAAAGAAAGAAACAAAGAUAUCACUUUCUCAAGUCGUCCAUCUAUAUAGUCCUGCAGCGGAAAUGGAAAAAUCCAAGCCCAUCUCUAUUUUGAUAAUGACAGUGAGCUAAAUGUCGCAAUUUUGCUACGCCCCUUUCACCACUCCAUGGUGAUAAAAAGUAGAAAUUAAAAAAAUAUCUACAACCAGCAUAUGAUGUGAAUGAAACAUCAUUAGUAUCUACACGUCAUUAACUUAAUUAAGCUAACGGUCUGUUCGUUCGUUUGUUCGCAAGUGAUUUUCAGAUUGAAAAUUAUUUUUGAAGUUUAGAUAAAAUUUAUUUUUUGAUCACUGUUGAUUUAUCAAAAGUCAAUGGAUUUUAGAGUUACAGUUAUCUCAUUUUCUUCGAUAAUUGACUCUGUUACGAUACGAUAUUCUGGAAAGGCAUAGCUAUGGACAAAUUUAAUUCACGGUUUAAAUAGCCAAAAUAUAGAAAUUUAAAGUCGAUAGCAACUUUACUCCUUCCAUAAUGGGCGAAACAAACAUACCCUACAGGAAGGAUAUGUGUGGGAGAACCGCUACCUUUCAUUGGAGACCUUAUCUGAUUAGAUAUGUCGGGAUAGUGGUAUAAAGCGAAAGAGAAGGAUUUGAAAGAAAAAAUUAUAAAAAAAUAAUAAUAAUAAAAAGAAAAAAAAAAUGGAGAAAUUUUGAGAGUAUGUGGGUGGUGGAGAUAGAGAGUAAUUGGGUCACUUUGGUCCCCCUCCAUUUCGCCCCAAUGUUGGGUUUGAUGUGGACUCUUUUAGCAUAUUCCGCGACACAAUCACCAUUUGUGUCCCAAUCGUAUUAAGGAACUCGCUGGGCCUUUUGUUUUUUUGUUUUUUUUUCAAUUUUUUGAACUUCCCUUUUUAGCCUUGUUGUGGUUUAAUUAAUUAUAAUAAUAAUUAGUUAUUACCCGCUGUUUUAGUGCAAUUAUUAAACUAAUUAAACUAAUAUUUGACGAGAUUACGGGGAUUCGGGGCGUGAGUGGGCUCGCAAAAUUGGGACCAAUAAUCGAAUUUGUAAUGCUUGUUAGUGAUAGUUAGUCAUGUUGAGACGAUAUUCCUUCCUUAAAAAAACAAAUUUGAUUUGGUGGUUUUUAAGCCACGCUUUUGAGGACAAUUAUUAAACUAAUAUUUGACGAGAUUACGGGAAUUUGAGCGUAAGUGGGCUUACAUAGUGGGGGCCUCUAUAUUUAGUUUGUUAAUUAAGGCUAGUAGUGGUAGUAGCAAUUUCGACAUCCUCCUUUUCUUUUUUUUUUUUCUCCUAUGAAAUCUUUAUAUAUAUAUAAUUAGAUUACUAUACUAUUAAUAGCAUCAAGUUAUUAAUGCUAUUAGAUUUUCGAUCCUUAAAUGAAAGAAUGUACGGUUUGGUAGAUAGUGGUCCCUAAAAUUGAGUCGGUACUUGGUUGAAUAAUAUAAUCUAACGGAUAAAAAUGAUCAAAAAGAUAAAUCUAACGGUGAAAAAUUUGGUAGCACAAGUGCUUAGUGCUCUUGAUAGCAUAGUAACCGGACUCUCUCUAUAUAUUAUAUAUGUAAUUUACACUCUCAUCAAAUCUCUUUCUAGCAUCUGCAUCAUAAUAUAAAAGAAGAAUGAAUACUAUAUAUAUAUAUAUAUGUACAUACAUAUAUCCACGAUAGAUCGUAAGCACCAAUCAACUAUUCCAAAAACACGUACCGAUAAGAAGGAUGCACCUCUCGCACUUAAGGGUUCAAUCACAGUGCUCAGGAAUUUCGACCUGAAUUAAUCCAUCUGAACAUUAGGUCUCUUACCGUUAGAUCUUUUGUGAAUCAUAAUUAACCCCACUCAACUUAUUAGAUUCAUCCAACUUGACUUAUUAACCUCAUAAACCUUUUUAUUACGGGACAGAAAGUUUAAUCUAUUUUAGUUCAAUAAUAAAUAGCCAGCAUACACCUCAUAAUGAUGCGUGCACAACUACUCCGAUGAAAUUCAAAACUACUUAUCUUCCUUUUCUAACUUUUACCAACAACAAAUUAAAAGCUAAAAAAUCCAAAAAAAGUUAAAGAAUAGACAAGCUAGGCCAAAGUCAUAAAACAAUCUUUGGACACAGGGUCAGAGUAAUACUUUGGUGAGCUUUAUACACUAUCCCAUAAUUAUAUCGCACAAAUAAAUCCCUCUAUAUAUAUAUAUAUAUAUAUAUAUAUAUAUAUAUAUAUAGCAUGUGUAUAUUAAUUAAUACAUCAAUGCCUUUUUUUUUACGAAAAAAAGAAAAAGAAAUUUAAAAAUACAGGUAAGAGUACUCACCAUGCUGUUGUUGUUGGUGGCACGUGACCAUGCAGCGAUAACACACCAAAAGUUGUCAUAUAACAAUUGGAUCUAAUCAGAAUUGGCCAUGUCGCCACCCACUGUACGUACUCAUGGGUCUCUCUCUCUCUCUCUCUCUCUCUCUCUCUCUCUCUCUCUCUCUCUCUCAAUGUUUUGGCCACAUACAAGGUGUUUGUCGAGCUACGGAACAAAUAGAUACACUGCCAUUUUUUAUGCUACAUGUUUACAGCUACAUGGCAACUCCGAAUGUUACGUACAUUUUUAAUCACAAUCACGGGGAACCAUUAAUUUUACGAUUCUUUGGAAAUUGGAGCUCGCAAAUUUGCUGGUGCUCCACUCAUCAGAAACAGUGGAGAUACAACUGGGAAACUGGCCCAGUGUCUUUUCUUUUUUUAACUAUGGAAAUUACAUAUAUAUACUUUUUUCUAUAGCAUUUAUUGCAUGCAAAAAUAAUAAUAUGUGACCUUUACUGUAGAUGAACUGAAAUAUAACAAAUUCUACUGUUUAGUUCUAGGAGCAAUUUGGACGUGUACUUAAAGUCUUAAACAAAGAAAGAAAUAAUAAGAUGACGUGUCAAUUUAGCCAUCUUUCAUCCAGUUUAGGUGGAGGGAUAAGAUUGACUUUUUGUGGUCUAGCUUUUGAGCUGUAGCCAAACCUCGUGAUAAAUUGUAUUAAUUAAUAAUAUUUAUGAAAAAAAUCAUGCGGUGGUGAUCAGGCAUUGGAAGGAGAUAGAGUGAAAGUACGGAUCGUUUUAAGAAGUCAAGCUAGUAAUUGAAAGUACGGAUCAAUUUAGAAAUUAAGUCAAACUCUAUUGAUUCUCGCACAAAAAAACGAAAAAGAAAACAUGUGUUAGUCAAAGAAAACAAUCUGGAAAGGCAAACCUCGAUCGAUCAACUCACGUACAUGAUGGAGGUCCGAUGAACACAUCACACGUCUUACCCGGAGAUGCGACAAAAUUGAUUGACGGAGGUUUUUAACUGAAUCGUAAUUAACAGGAAUCUGAACUCACAACCUUGUGAAACUGAUGACGCUAAUUAGGAAAGCAAUAGCUAUACCUCUUUUUCGAGGAGAAGCUUGAACGAACUUUAGAAUUUGCUACUUGAAGCUCUACUUUUAAAUUUCUACGUUGCUAUUAUAAUAUUUUAAUAAAUUAUUUUUCUCUUUCUGAAAGCUACGUUCAAUCUCAUUCUUGUGCACACAAAAGCUCCAGACAAGCCAAACAGACUGAUUCAUUUGGGUGUCGACCAAUGCGAGGGUGGAUUUCAGAGUACAGCUUACUUCCUAGCUGUUUCGAAGGAUAGCCACACAAUUAUGCAGUGUGUCCAUGUCUUCUUGCACCAAUGAGAGGUUCCAAUUAUUUUUCUCAUUAAAUAAAAAAAAAAUAAAGAGUUGCGUAUUUCUCUUUCAUCAUCAAUACUUUCUCACUGUGAUAGCACUGGUUCAUAAUAAGGUUGCAGCAAUGCAACCACAACGAUCGAAUUAAGUAGAUUCAUUGCAAUUUUCAAAUUUAAUCAAUAAGUAACGAUCAGAUUCAAUAAAUACCACGACUCUUAAUGUUUUAGAUAAUGCCAAAUCGAUCUCAACGUUGAAUCUACGCAAAUGUUUUUCUAAAAAAAAUUUUAGCAUUAUAAAGGCUAUAGUUUUUUUUUUUUUCAACCAUGAUUAAAAUCACAAAAAGAGUAUUUAACUUCGAUUAUAUUGUAGAUUAAAUAACAUAAAAGCAUGAUCCACUAGUCCCUGUACAAAAACUUGUACUCUUUGUAGAUCGUGCACCGAAUGGAUAAGCUUGUUCUCUUCAAAUCAAUGCUCUUGUGUUUCCAACCCGCAUCGAUUUGUCCGUUCCUUGGCAACUAAGCAUUUGGAAUCCAUUAUAUUAUUCUCCAAUAAAGAAAAAUAAUAUUGACAUGGUUAAAUUUGAUUAAAGCACAAUAAAUUUACUUAAUUAUAGUGACCAAAUUUGAAAAAAAAAUUACCUAUCAAUAUCAAAAUCGGUUUUGUUAAUAUUGAACUAGAGUAAUAGCUCCACAGUAAUAGCUCCACACGAAAGGGUUCAAAAUCAACAGCUGAAAAUAAAAAUCUCACAAAAAGUGGUGAUAUAGUACGUACUAAAAUUUUCGAUCAGAGAUAUUAAUCUUACUGUAGAUAAAAAAAAAAUUUAUUUGAUUUGGAUAUUUUUAUAUCGUAAACUUGAAAAUUCAUUAAAAAUUAUUGAUUUUUAACCAUUUUGAUCGUUAGUUAAAUAAUAUCAAAAAAUCAUAAAAUUUAUUUUCUAAAUAUAGCCUCUCACUCUCUCUCUCUCUCUCUCUCUCUCUCUCUCUCUCUCUCUCUAUAUAUAUAUAUAUAUAUAUAUAUAUAUAAAUUUCAUACUUUUUCGAUAUUAUUUUCUUGUCCAUCAAGUAGACAUAAAAAUGAAUGGCUAAAAAUGAAUAUCCUCUAAAACGUGAUGAUAGAAAUUUUGUAAUUAUGAUCAAAAGUAUAGAUCUUGUUCUAAAUAGUUUAAAAAAUUUUCUAACCAAAAUUCAAUUGAUUUGGAUAACUUUACACCAUUAAACGAGAAAACCCUUCAUAUCAACCAUUAAAAUUACUAAUUUUGAAACCCUUUGAUCCAUUAGCAAAUGAUGUCCGAAAAGAUUUGAAAUUUAAGUUUCUAAAACCUCUCAGUUCGAUUAGAUCUGUUCAAUGAUGCGAUCAUCGAUUGUAAAGCUGCCAUGAUUGAAAACAAAUGGUGGCAUACGACGCCGCGUUUGCUACCGUAGCAAUUCCAGCUCAACUCUAUAUACAUAUCAAUAACUACUAUAUAUAUAUAACCUCAUAUAAUAUAUAUAUAUAUAUAUAGUCUUAUAUAUAUAUAGAUAUAAGCUAAGGGUAACGACUAUCAUUCCAACCAUAGAAUUUUUGAUCGCAAAGCUAAAAAAUCAUAAGCACCAACUACUUUAUGCUUCCAGUACAUAGUAGCUCUACACAUAUAUAUACAUAUAGUCGGCUACUAUGCUAUCGUUAGUACGGAAUGCUCGUGCUACCAGUUGUUUUCGAUGAUGCGGCUUCCAAAUCGACGAUCAGCGCUUCGUUAGAGCUUGAUCUACACUUUUGAAAGUAUUGGAAACUAAAUUUCAAAAUUUUUUCGACACUCAUUUGACUAUGAUCAAAGAUCUCAAAUUUGACAAUUUUAAUGGCCGAUGUGUGUGUUUGUGAGUUUAAUGGUGUAAAACAUCCAAAUCGAUAAAAUUUUAUAGAAAAUUCUUUUCACUAUUUAGAGUAAGAUUAGUAUAUCUGAUCUUGAAUUUUAAAUUCUUUUAUCAUCAUUUUUUAUGAGUUUUUAUUUCAGCCGUUCAAAUUUUAGACUAACUUGUUUGAUAGGUAAAUAAUAUCGAAAAAUUAUGAAAUUCAGUUUCUAAAUACUUUUAAUAGUGUACAUCAAGUUUAAUAGAGCCGAUCGUCGAUUUGGAAGCCGCAUCAUCGAAAACAACUUGGUAGCACGGAGCCGCGAUAGUAGUAAGCCUAGUUCAUAUAUAUAUAUAUUAUAUAUAUAUAUAUAUUAUAUAUAUAUAUUUAAUUAAUUAUAUAUAUUAUAUGUAUUAUAUAUAUAUAUAUAUAUAUAAUAUAAUGAGUUGCUCCCUAUAACUAUCGAUACGUAGCCAAGCCCUUUGUACUUUUGAGCUUUUUACGCGUAGAUCUACCAUUUGAUCAGUUUCAUCCGUUAGCAUUAAUACUAUUAACCAAAACUACUCAACCCUAGGGGACCACUAUCAUCCUAACCGCACGUCCUUUCAUCUAAUAGCCGAAAACUCAAUAGUACCAAGGACUUGGUACUAUCGAUAGUAUAGUAGCAUAAUUCAUAUAUAUAUAUAUAUAUAUAUAUAGAGAGAGAGAGAGAGAGAGAGAGAGAGAGAGAGAGAGUAGGGCUACUAUACUCUUAUGAGUAUAGAACCCUUACUACUCAUAAGUUGUUUUCGAUGUUGGAGUUUUCGAAUCGACAAUCCACACCGUUAAACAUGAUCUAGAGUAUUUGAAACCUCUAGAAAAUAAUUUUCAUAAAUUUUCAAAAUCAUUAUAAAGUCCAUCAAGCGAGUAUAAAAUGAAUGGUUAAAAUCGAAUGACAUCCUAAAAAUGGAUGAUCAGAUCCUUCAAUUUAAGAUCGGAGUUAUUAAUGUUUAUUUAGGUAGUGAUCGAGUAGAAUUUUCUAUCAAAAAUUCAACCUAUUUCGAUUCUUUUUCACCGUUAAAAUAGCAAAUAUUUCAUACCGGCCGUUAAAAAUUGUCAAUUUUGUGACCUUUUGAUAGUAAGGUAAAUAAUAUCGAAAAAUUAUAAAAUUUAAUUUCUAGAAGUUUUAAAUGCUCUCGAUAACAUUUAACGGUAUAGAUCGUCGAUUUGGAAGCUCUAUUAUUGAAAAUAACUUAUGAGUACGAGGGCGAUCGUACUCAUAAGAGUAUAGUAGCCGGACUCUAUAUAUAUAUAUAUAUAUAUAUAUAUAUAUAUAUAUAUUAAAAGGAUUCCUUAUUAGCGGAGAAAAAAUAGUCCAAAAUUAGUUCUGCUAAUAACAUCAUCAAUGAAUAUCCAUAUUAGCUCCAUAUAUAGGACUCAUACACAGAUCCCAUAUUAAAAGACUAUAGCCUUUUGUUAGCCCUAAUUAAGCAAGUGGAAAGAGAAAUAUUCUCCUUACAGUGGAAAAAAAAGAAAUCCAUAUACAAUACGUAAGCGAAAAAUAUAUUGUUCGAAUCUAUAAAAGUUGAUAAAAUUAAAAGAUAUUAGAAGUUAAAGGGAGGAAACUUUUCUGCCUUUCCUUUUCUACGAAAAAAAAAAAAAAAAGUUAAGGAAAACAAAAGAGAAUGGCUCCAAGCUAGUGUGCCACUAAUCAUGUCAGAUGCUAUUUAUGUCAUUUCAAACCUAGACCACAUUUGUACAUCAGCAAUGCCAUUUUUUAGGCUCCUAUAAUCAGAUGUCUUAGGUAAAAGAUAUGUUAACGGAUUAAAAAUUGGAAGUUCUUAAUCUCAACCUUUUAUAUUAUUUACGCCAUUUGUAUUUGACAAUUGCAGAAUAAUUGAGAUAAAUUAGGAUUUUAAGUUUAUUCAAUUGGCUCCGAUACUCAAGUGUUCUAAAGGAGGACUCAGUUUAGGAUAAAUGAACUUUUAAUACCUAAUUUUAGAAACAAAGAACCAAAAGUAGUUUUAGAUAGGAUUAAGGCAUUGGAUAUAAUUUGGUAGUAAGUGGGUCCAUUGAUAGAUAGACCCAACUACCAAACCACAUCUUGACUCGAAACCAAAUCGGUGCCAUCCAAUGACAAGGCACAGGAUCAAUCCCAUAGCCCUACAUCCAACUCGACACAUCGAAUAUAACUUCCCAACCAAUCUAUGAGUUCGCAACACCAAACUCAGGGCCCAGAUGAUAAAGCUCCAGCAAAAGUAUUGUUUGAGUAAAAACUGUUCAAAACCGAAGAUCUAUCUCGCCUUAUUUUUAUGGCAAAACAGUAUCUGAGCAGUAGUGCUCAUAGUAAAAGUGUCGAAUUAAAACUUCGUCAAUAGCAUUUCUCUACAGAAAGAGCCAAUUCAUCUGCACUAGUCAUUCCUCCGUUGUUGAAGAUUCUGAAAUUCUGUUCUUGCCAGAGUAUUCCCCGCAGGCUACGAAGUAGAGGCCCGAUCAAAUUCUUAGAUCUAACUUUGAUCCAUCGCAGCCGUAAGUCCCCUGCUCGAUUGAGUAGGCAACUCUCGAGCCACAGGAAUGAUCUGUAAAAUGCGGUUCCACGCCAAAGUAGAAAAGUUGUAGUCCCGUAGCACAUGCUCGAUGCUUCUUCGUCGACACAAUAAAGUACACAUUGCGGAUGCCCGGGCCAACCUCCUUUGGCGAGGAUAGAUGUCGCCAUUAAGCAAUUUCUUUUUCGAGGCGAGCCACAUAAUUCUAUUUCUAUAUCAAAUUUUAUUUCAACUUUUUAUACCAAAACCUUCGAACUUAUCUAUUUGAGACACAUAUUAUCUUAUAAAAGGGACUAUAACUAGAAGUAGUAGUAACAGAAUACCGGCGAAAAAUGGAUUUAGAGUUUAUUUUGACAAGCUUCUGUUUUUCUAUUUGGAGCACCAGCAUCUAAUACAGAUUUGAGAAGAAAAGAGAUAUAGAGUGUCUGCUACUAUGGCAAUUAUUAAAUAAAACACAAAUUUUAAAAUAACUAUAAUGUAAUAUUUUUUAUUUGAUAAUAAUAAUAAUAAUAAUAAUAAUAUAGGCUACUUUAAUAGCCAUUCAAGUUGGUUGGUGUUAUUGUCUUUUUUCAAUUGAAGGAUGAGCAGGUUAAAUGAU
RNAcentral lists this long non-coding RNA (60049 nucleotides) under Ananas comosus (pineapple). Lineage: Eukaryota; Viridiplantae; Streptophyta; Magnoliopsida; Poales; Bromeliaceae. The record is from RNAcentral.